ACUUUCAGUAAUUUAUAGCAAAUCAAAACUGUUACUAUUUAGCACCGAUUAAACUCACUCUUGUUUGGAUUCGAAUUCGGAUAAAAUCUCGGGUAUCCAUACCAUUGCCUCCAUAAUUAACAGUAAUAGUUGUAAAUAAUAGAUUUAUUUUUUUAUUUUAUUAAAAAUCACAUACAUACACUUGCAUCUCUUUUAUUAAUUGAAAAAAGUAUGAGAACUACUGACCGUCCCUAGCGCAAGUGGCAAAAGGGCUUGAUGGUUGGUACCCGAAACCCAAGUUCGAAUCCUAGUUGAUUCACAUUUCCAGCUAAAUUUAUUUCUAAAUGAAAUAAACGAAGCAGGUAGCAUGUUACCUUUCUUUCAAAAAAAAAAAGUAUGAGAACUUUGUUCAAAGAAUCAUUUGUAUAUUAUUUUUAGUUUUUAUGUACAUAAUAUAAUAAGAUUAUUGCUGAUAAUUUAAGCUUUAAAGAUUUAAGAAAAAUUAAGCAAAAUCCCAUUUGGUUGGGGUACGAGGGGUGAGAUAACCCCUUAUCUAGGGGUGUAAUGUGGGCUGUGCCGAACUGGUACGGCCCAUAUAAACCGGGCGAUUCGGGCCAAGGGUCAGCCCGGCCCGACCCGCUUACAAAUGCGGGCCGGACCAUGCCGUGCCGACCCGUUUUCUUGGAGGGGAAAGCCCGGCCCGGCCCCUGGCCCGCUUAGGACGGGUCGGGCCGGGCUAGGCUUCGGGCCAACCCGGUAAUAGCCAAUAAGCUUUUUUUCCAGUUUUUUUUAUAUUUUGCUUUUAAUUAUUUCUUUAAGAAAAAGAGUUUAAAUUAUAACUUUUUGACUUAUAUUUUUUUAAUUUACACAAGGCCAAUUUGCAUAAAAAAUCCACUUAUUUUGGGCUUUUGCAAAAUCGGGCCAUCUUUUUGGCUUUUACAGAUUCGGUCCGCUUUUUCAGCAAACUGACCAAAAUACCCUUAUACCUUUUUCUCUUUCCUCUUUCUCUCUCCUCUUUUUUUCUCUCGUUCUUUUUUCUUUUUCUUCCCAGAGAGCGGCGAAGACGGAGCGGAGGUGCCCUUAUACCUUUUUCUUUUCUCUUUUUUCUCUCGUUCUUUUUUUUCUUUCUCUUCCCAGAGAGCGGCGAAGACAGAGCGGCGUCGCCGCCGGCGCCCCCACCUUCCUCGCCUCCGAUCCCCCUAAGGCCGGGCUGUGACUUUUUUUUUUUUGCAUUUUUCUUUUCUUUUCUUCUCUGACUCUCCUCCACAGUUUCCGACGACGGCGCCUCUCUCGCUCUUCCCUGCCCUUCCCGUCUCUCCUUCUCCCUCCUUCUCUGCUGCCUCCGACGACGAUGCAUCUUCGCCGACACCGACGCCGACACCGUGGAGAUCACUGCGGCGCUGCAGCCUCGGAGUGGGGGGUCUUUAGCGGCGUCGUCACCGACACCGUGGCUAUUGACAGAGAGGGUGACAAAAAAAAAAAAAAAAAAAAAAUAAAGAUAAAAAAUUAUAUAAAAAAAAGGAUGAAGAUGAAAUUGUAUCGUUAACUACAAAAAAAUUACAAGUUGCACUACUUAAGAUGUAAACUGCAGCUUUAAAAUAAAAAUUACACUUUUUAAAUGAAAAUUACACUCUUUGAAAGAUAUUUACACUGUUUCUCUUCUUAUUGCACUCUUUCAGAUAUAAACUGCACCCACUAAGAUAAAAAUUACACUCUUUAAAUGAAAGUUGCACUGUUUCUCCUCUUGUUGCACCGUUUCUCCUCUUGUUGCAUCAUUUCUCCUCUUGUUACACUAUUUUUUAUCUUAAACUGCACCCAUUUAAGAGAUAUUUAUACUGCUUCUCCUCUUGUUGCACUGUUUCUCCUCUUGUUGCACUGUUUCUCCUCUUUAAAGAGGAGAAACAGUGCAACAAGAGGAGAAACAGUGCAACAAGAGGAGAAGCAGUAUAAAUAUCUCUUAAAUGGGUGCAGUUUAAGAUAAAAAAUAGUGUAACAAGAGGAGAAAUGAUGCAACAAGAGGAGAAACGGUGCAACAAGAGGAGAAACAGUGCAACUUUCAUUUAAAGAGUGUAAUUUUUAUCUUAGUGGGUGCAGUUUAUAUCUGAAAGAGUGCAAUAAGAAGAGAAACAGUGUAAAUAUCUUUCAAAGAGUGUAAUUUUCAUUUAAAAAGUGUAAUUUUUAUUUUAAAGCUGCAGUUUACAUCUUAAGUAGUGCAACUUGUAAUUUUUUUGUAGUUAACGAUACAAUUUCAUCUUCAUCCUUUUUUUUAUAUAAUUUUUUAUCUUUAUUUUUUUUCUGUUUUUUUUUUUUUACCCUCUCUGUCAAUAGCCACGGUGUCGGUGACGACGCCGCUAAAGACCCCCCACUCCGAGGCUGCAGCGCCGCAGUGAUCUCCACGGUGUCGGCGUCGGUGUCGGCGAAGAUGCAUCGUCGUCGGAGGCAGCAGAGAAGGAGGGAGAAGGAGAGACGGGAAGGGCAGGGAAGAGCGAGAGAGGCGCCGUCGUCGGAAACUGUGGAGGAGAGUCAGAGAAGAAAAGAAAAGAAAAAUGCAAAAAAAAAAAAGUCACAGCCCGGCCUUAGGGGGAUCGGAGGCGAGGAAGGUGGGGGCGCCGGCGGCGACGCCGCUCUGUCUUCGCCGCUCUCUGGGAAGAGAGAAAAAAAAGAACGAGAGAAAAAAGAGAAAAGAAAAAGGUAUAAGGGCACCUCCGCUCCGUCUUCGCCGCUCUCUGGGAAGAAAAAGAAAAAAGAACGAGAGAAAAAAAGAGGAGAGAGAAAGAGGAAAGAGAAAAAGGUAUAAGGGUAUUUUGGUCAGUUUGCUGAAAAAGCGGACCGAAUCUGCAAAAAUGAAAAAGGUGACCCGGUUUUGCAAAAGCCCAAAAUAAGUGGAUUUUUUAUGCAAAAAGGCCUUUACACAAUUAUACCUAACCUUUUUAAAACUCUUUUAAAAAUUUUAUAAAUUUUUUAAAAAAUUAUAACACAAACAAUAAAUUUAACUUUUUAAUAAAAAAUUAAUAUUAAUUUUUUUUCAUAUUUUUUUAUUAUUUGAAAAGAAAUUGAUAUUCGAAAAAAAAGCACAAAAAAUAUGUAAAAUUUGAAAUAAUCAUAUUAUAUAAUUACAUUAGAGAAAAGUACAAACAUUUAUAAAAUCAAAAAUAUAUUUAAAAUAAAAUGGUAUUGUUUAUACAACCAAUUAGCAAACAGUAGAGAAAAAAAUUCAAUAUAAUUUUGUUCUUCGUUACAUCAUUUUUUUUACUUUAAAAAAGGGUACCUACUAAAGAGAGAUACCAAAUAAAAAAGAUGAGGAGCAAAGACUAAUAAGCAAUAGUGAGGAGAUUGGGGCAAUUGCACUAUAGCAUGCCACAAGUGUUGGUAUAUUUUUAGGUAGUUAAUUCCAUUUUAUCUGAAGAUAUAGACUCAUGACCUGCUUUAUCUUGUAUUCUUAAUUCUAUAGCUCGCCAAUCUUUUAAGCAGACUAAAAUCUUAACCGCAUCCUCUUUAAGCCGGGUUCUAUAAUCAUCCAAUAUUCUUCCACCUGCACUAAAAGUAGGCUUGGAUGCCACUAUUGAAACCUGCACAGUUAGUAGAUAUCAUACCAUGACAGAAAGCACGGGAUAUUUACUUUCAUGUGUUUUCCACGAGGCUAAAAUAUCUAAUUUAUCUGAUUCAUCUUCAUUAAAAGAUUUGAAAAAUCGCUUGUAAGUAAAACUGAAGUUCAUUAAGGGCAUGUUUGGUAACUCGAAAGUCGGCGAAGUGGAAAAAAAGUCACUUUUAUAAAAGUGACUUUUCAGUUCGAUUAUUUGGUUGCUACAAAGUAAAAAAUUAAAACUAUAAUUUUUUAUUUUUUUAUUAUUAAAUUAUAUAUAAAGAGGUAAAAAUAUAAACAAACGACUUAUACUUGCAAUUUAAAUUAAAAUUUUAAAUUUAAAUUAAUAUUUAGAAUUCAAAGUUAUAUUUUAAAAUUUAAAUUUAAACUUAUAUCUGAGUUGAAUUUAUAAUUAAAAUUUACGACAUAAAUUUAAUUUACAAUUUGAAUUUAAAAUUUAAGUUAUAACUUAUAAGUGAAAAUAACACAAAAAUUAGAACAUUUAUUCAAAUUUGAAUUUAUAAUUUGAAUAAUAUAUUAAUUCACUCUUUGAUCUUAAAAUCUGAAUUCAAAUAUGAAUUCACAAUUUAAAUUAAUAUUUAAAUUAAAAUUAAAAUAUGAGUUUAAAUCACAAUUCGAAUCGAACAUUUGAAUUCAUAANNNNNNNNNNNNNNNNNNNNNNNNNNNNNNNNNNNNNNNNNNNNNNNNNNNNNNNNNNNNNNNNNNNNNNNNNNNNNNNNNNNNNNNNNNNNNNNNNNNNNNNNNNNNNNNNNNNNNNNNNNNNNNNNNNNNNNNNNNNNNNNNNNNNNNNNNNNNNNNNNNNNNNNNNNNNNNNNNNNNNNNNNNNNNNNNNNNNNNNNNNNNNNNNNNNNNNNNNNNNNNNNNNNNNNNNNNNNNNNNNNNNNNNNNNNNNNNNNNNNNNNNNNNNNNNNNNNNNNNNNNNNNNNNNNNNNNNNNNNNNNNNNNNNNNNNNNNNNNNNNNNNNNNNNNNNNNNNNNNNNNNNNNNNNNNNNNNNNNNNNNNNNNNNNNNNNNNNNNNNNNNNNNNNNNNNNNNNNNNNNNNNNNNNNNNNNNNNNNNNNNNNNNNNNNNNNNNNNNNNNNNNNNNNNNNNNNNNNNNNNNNNNNNNNNNNNNNNNNNNNNNNNNNNNNNNNNNNNNNNNNNNNNNNNNNNNNNNNNNNNNNNNNNNNNNNNNNNNNNNNNNNNNNNNNNNNNNNNNNNNNNNNNNNNNNNNNNNNNNNNNNNNNNNNNNNNNNNNNNNNNNNNNNNNNNNNNNNNNNNNNNNNNNNNNNNNNNNNNNNNNNNNNNNNNNNNNNNNNNNNNNNNNNNNNNNNNNNNNNNNNNNNNNNNNNNNNNNNNNNNNNNNNNNNNNNNNNNNNNNNNNNNNNNNNNNNNNNNNNNNNNNNNNNNNNNNNNNNNNNNNNNNNNNUGAAUUCACAAUUUAAAUUAAUAUUUAAAUUAAAAUUAAAAUAUGAGUUUAAAUCACAAUUCGAAUCGAACAUUUGAAUUCAUAAUUUGAAUUCAAAUUCAGACUGAAACUUAUUAUUGAACUUAAAUGUAAAUAACAAAUUUAAAUUUAAUUUGAAUUUUAACUUAAAAAUUUAAAAUUUAAAUUUAAAUUUUAGUUAAUAAUUUGAAUUUAUACUUGGAACAAUUUGAAUUCAAAUUUCAAAUUGAAGUUCUUAACUAAAAAUAAUUUGCUUAAAAUUUAAAAUUUAAAAUUUAAAAUUAAAUUCUAGCAUUCAACUUUAAAUAAAAAUAAAAAUUAAAAAUUUAAAUUUAAAUAUAAAGUCAUAAAUUUGAAUUUAAAAUUUUAUGUUGAAUUUUAAUUCAUAAAUAAAAUUCAAAUGUUAUCAUAAUUUUAUUUCAAAUUUAAAGUGAAAUUAAACUUUAAAAAUAAAUUUAAAUAUUAAAGUUAAGACAAAAUAUAACCUCUUAGCUAAGCUCUCCACUUUCGGUGAAUUUUGAAUUUUUUUAGCCGAAGUCAAAAAAGUGAGAUUUAGUUAUAACUCACUUUAUCAGCCCACUUUUGUAAAGUAACUUUUAUAUUCACUUUCGUAAACCAAACAACCGAUAAGACGUCACUUUCUAAAAGUAUCACUUUCUAAAAGUAUCACUUUUGAUACUAUACUUUCGACGAACCAAACAUACCCUAAAAGAAGGUGCACUAAAAUCCGUUUGUUUUUGUUUUCUUACUAAAGAUAAAAUUAUAUUUUUACUAGUUUUGCCACUACUACUACUGCUCCUACUUUGUAACUGUGAAGAAUAUGGUCGUUUACUACCCGAAGCAGUUGCAUAAACACCAUACAAUUCACAUAAAAUACUAUUUACUAUUUGAAAAAUAUUUUUCCUAUUUGAAUAAUUUGUUGAAUUAAUUUCUAAAAAUUCAUUAUAUUGAGUAAGAGCAAUUUCUACUCCAUUUAAUUUAAUUCUAGGAUCCAUUAUAGAGGCCAAAAGAGGUACAAUAGGAAUUUCUUCCCAAUAAUAUUUUUCCUAUUUGAAUAAUUUGUUGAAUUAAUUUCUAAAAAUUCAUUAUAUUGAGUAAGAGCAAUUUCUACUCCAUUUAAUUUAAUUCUAGAAUCCAUUAUAGAGGCCAAAAGAGGUACAAUAGGAAUUUCUUCCUAAUAUUCUUUAAAUUUAGAUUCCAUCAUAAAAAAAUUUAACCUAAAAGAGGAGAAUUUUUAUAUUCAGCAAAAUGACUACUCAUAAGUAAAAUUUGAUUAAGAAAAUGACAUGAAGUAGGAUAAUACACACCUGACAAAAGUUUGGUUGACUCAUAAAAUGGUUGCAAAAAUAAGAAUUUAUCCAAUGUUCCAUUUUUUAUUAAUUAUGGGAUUAUGCAGCAUUUUCUUAUUACAAAAAUAGAUAAAACAUUUCUGUAUCAUAACAAUAUUGCAACAUUUUAUAUGUGGAAUUCCAUCGGUUGUCACGCCUCGGGAUCCCUUUGGAUUUAAAAUCCCAUGCGGAAGUGCCAAACUUUUUAUUUUGAAAACCUUAACCCAGAGGAUGUCAGAUUCGUCAUAAAUACAGAAAAUUCACUGUUCACAGGACAGAGUCUCCCUAUAUUUGUAUGGCGUCGCACAAGUACAAGACUACUACCACAACUGUAUAUAUAUAUAUAUAUAUAUAUAUAUAUAUAUAUAUAUAUAUAUAUAUAUAUAUAUAUAUAUAUAUAUCAUCACCACAUCACAAUAAUUCCAUCACAAGUUUACCAUAAAUCCACAUCUAUUAGUUUAAAACGUUUCCUAUUCGGAAACUCAUUUUGAAAUACUAAGUAUCAUGAAAACCAGGAAAACCUUUUAAAAACUGUUUCGCACACGGAAACCUUUUCCUUUUUAAAACUCACUAACACGAGGGGUAGAAAACCAUUUCCAUUUCACAAAAAUAUCAUAAAUCCUUUAUUACAUUCAUAAAACUAUAUGAAUUCAAAUGAAAUAAGCCACUGAACCAUAAAUAUUGUUUUAGUCAUUUAUUUAAAGAAGCCGAGUUUGAGAAUUAACCAAAUAACGGGAUGGUGGCACUAUCGAUCGCUAGACUCGCUAUUCACGAACCGUCCCACUAGGACCCGUGGUGUCACCUGUAAUGGGGGUGGGGGGUGAGAACAUGUAAACAUGUCUCCUCUCCCAGUGGGUACCGCAAGCCGACGAGGGCGAGGGGUACUCACCAGUCAAGGAGGAUAAACAACAAUAUGGGUAAGCGAAAUACAGUAGCAACGAUAAUGAAUGAACAGAAUGUAUAAUGCACAGCUACUGCUACUGUAUGUAUGCAUCAACGGAUGACAAGUCUAAAAAUACCCAAUCUCAAACCUGUACUCUAUUGGUCCCCACUGCAGACCUCAAGCUAGUGCCCUAUUGGUCCACACCACAGACCUCAGGCCCAUGCCACUGCCACUCUACCUGCAUAUGACCCAGCUUAGGCCGCUGGGCUCACGGGUUGGCACACCGAACCACUUUUUCGGAAAAGAACACCUAGCCGCGGUGGAUCAGACCGCUGGUGUUCGUAAAAUGCAUACAAGUCUCGGGCGAUCAAUGCUGAUAUGCUCAAUAGCCAACCAUCGGCAACUAGCCGACAAUCCUGCCCCUUAGGGCAUACCGACCGUAUAGGUCACCAAGUGGUCCAAUCGACCAAGUAGGUCAUGAUAACAAUGCAGUAAACCGACCGAACAGGUCACAAAUACGGAAUGCAACAACCGACCAACUAGAUCACAGAUAUCACAUGUAGAUAAAACCUGCUCUACUCCUACUCACAAGGCUAGAAGUAUAAACAAUCAAGUAGAGCGAUAGAUAGAGAUAACCAGGUGCUAAGCUCAACACUAUAUAUAUAUAUGCAUGUAGAGUAAUAACGAGAGAACAAGGAUAAAAAGAUAUCACUGAGCGUGCACCACUAUACCGACUUCGAAUCGAAAUACCAACCUGUACAAAUACGAUACUGGCCUUCCAACUACGGAUGAAGUAACAACCGGACCUACGAAGGGUCCAUCGGAUUAGAAUCCAACCCACGAACACAAAACACUAACUCACAAUCCCCACCAAUAAACAUACGGGAAUCAAUUUCCCAAAACCGAUUGCCGAACACACCGAAAGUCUCGAAAAUCGCACCGGGACUCCGCUGGGACCCACGAACUGUCUCGAAACUCAUCGACUCGUGCUACUAGUCACCCGCUGCUACUAAGCACUUAUAUUCGUGUAACCUGGCAGCAAAAACACUAUCUCACAUCGAAACGAUCAUCAUCGGAUAAUUAUUCCGAUCCGGAUUUUCGGAAGUGUCCAAUUCGACACCGGAACCCACCAUCGCUCACCCGUCAUUUUUGAACCAUCGAAACCACAUGGUGACCAGCCAACAAGGCUCAGUGAUGACACAAAUUAUUAUGAGGCACCGUCGGAAGAAUUCCAAACCAAAAACGUGUUCCGUCAGCGAAUUUUGCCGACAAACGCACUGGAAAUCAAUUUUCGAUCUCCGCAAGGGCCUGGGGCCUUGGACAAUAAGUCCAGAGGUCACCCACUGCCCGCACACGCUGCCAACAGCGACCACAAAGUGUACAAUUGCAUAGAAACCCCCACGACAUCAUAAAAUCAUUAUUUCAGCUAGACAGCGCAAACCGAGGGCUUUCUAACUAAGCUAAGACACCCUCUGAUAGGUCUCGAUGUGCCGGAGACCACGCUUACACUUCAGAGCACGGUCGGCCACUGUGGCGAGCGACGCGAAAUUUAGUGAAUGUUGCGCACAGUAUGAAAAACAUGCUUAUCUUGCAAACCAGGGGCUCGUGGACCCCAACGAAGGUGAUCACGAUGAUCGGCACUGAUCAAAGAUCCUCAUGCUCACCUUCGGAAGCCUCGGGGUGGUCCCCGAUCGCCGGAACAAUGACCCGAACCCGAAACGAUGCACAGAAAACACUAAACAUACUCACCGGAGCUUGGUGGAGCAUAGAGUGGCCGGCGGCUGCCGGACGCAGGCGCGCCGACAGGGGGAGGCUGCGGCCGGUCAAAGGGGGCCUGGGCACGCGUUGGCCGGCGGCGGCGGCAGCUGGCGAUGAUGCCCUAGCCGUAACAAGGUGGUAGCGGAAUUCUCCCUAGAGGACGGUCCCGUCAGAUCAUAGCGGAAUUCUCCCCGAUAGUAGGGAUUUGGGUUGGUGAGCUUGUGAGGGCGAAACCUACGGGCUAGCCAUGAGAUUGGGUAAUGAAAAGUUAAUCUUGCAUUCAUCAUGAGCAUUCUAUCAAGCAUAGUUUUAUUUAUCGUCAGGCAUAUUAGCUGCAUUUGUUAAUUGGUUACUAUCUAUUCUUUCUUCUAUUAUGCCUAAUUAGACCUAGUGGGAUAGUCGGCGUGGUUGGUUGCCGAACCGACUGGAAACUUUGUUGUAGUUCUCACACCCCUAUUUUCACAGAGUCGGGACCGAGCGAACCGGCAGAUGAUUGCGGUAAGGGCAUCGCGCCCUAGGUAGAGACCGCCCGAGAUGUUUUAUUUUCAUAGUUGCAUACCCCUUAUUAUCAUCUUUUGUAUUUUGACGAUGUUAGUAUUGUGAUCAUGUUAAAGGAAUGAUGUAGAAGACUUUAUUUAUGUUAAAUGGAGAACUUGUGAUGUAUAAAAGAAAUGAUGCAAAGUUGUAUUAAAGUUGAAUGCAUGUAUGUGAUUUAAAUUUGAUCAAAUACUUGUAUGAUGUUUAGUAGAUUCUUUCACUAUUGGCUGUUGCUUGCCCUCGUGCAAGCCAUUAUGUAUGCUUCCGUUUUGUGCAAAAUUCAUACUCUAUUUGUACAGGAUGUUGAGCCUUGGGCGGACAGGGGAGACUCUGUCCGUUCGGCGUCUGUUUGACGCGCUCGAACCGGCCAAAUAGGAUCGGGUUCGAGGCGUGACAGAGCCAGUUGGUCCCCAAGAUCACGUCGAAACCCCACAUUCGAUUCAACACCAACAGGUCGAUCGGCAUGACCCAAUCACCUAUCUGCACUGGGCACGCUACACACUCUUCGUGAACAUGGAAAGUAUGCUCGACCGAAUUCACCGUCCAAUAGUCAUAAUGAUGCACAAUCUUAAUACUAUGAGUCAUAGCGAAUGAUGCAUCUAUGAAUGAAUGCGAUGCACCAGUGUCAAAUAAAGCUCUAGUUUUGGUGCCUCUGAUCGAGAUAAUACCUGCCACGAUGUCGUCGGGGACAGGAAUCGGCUCCUCCUCCACCUGAGUGGCAAAAACCCGCCUACUCGGUGCCCUCGAUGUCUCCGGCUGACGCGAUGAAGACGAACGUCCAGCCGACAUAGCCGGUGGUAACCCCACUUGCUGUCUCGGGGUAUAAGGAACUGACGUCGAGGUCGGUGCAGAUGAACCCCAGCUAGGGCACUCUCGUGACACAUGCCCAGGUUGGCCACACUUGAAGUAUUUUCCCUCCCGCUGCGGGCAUGUCGGCGGUUGAUGGUUACCGCCGUAAAUAACACAACGGGAUGGCCUUUAACUCCUCAACUACUGUCAGGGGUACCGAGGGGGUUUCUUAGUAUUUGGCCGGCCCCCGGUGCCACCCACCGUCAGCUUCUUGCUCUUCUCCUUUGCCUCGGCUGCGGACUCGCGCUCCUCGUGUUUGUGGGCAUAGCCAUGCUCCGCCCACAAAGCUCGAUCAAAGACCUCCGGAAAGGUCGUGAGCUUAAGGAUUUGCACGGCCCUAUGAAUCCCCGGCCGCAAUCCUCGUAGGAACCAGUCUGCUCGGUCCCGGUCAUCCCUAACAACAUCCGGGACCGAGCUCAAUGCCGCUUGAUGACAUUAGCUCGCUAGUUCACAUACAUUCUAGCUCAGUACCUCUAUAUGGCAAUUUCAUCAUCUUUCAUGUCGCAAGUAAACUUAAGUUUAAAUGCAUGAAUUCGAACUCAUUUACACUAUAGAAACAUGAAACCAAAUCUCGUAUAGAAUGCUAAAUGCAACCAACUCUCUCUCAAGCAACUCUCUACUACAUAGAGGUCCAAAAUUUCAUUAUAUAUAACAUAUGCAUUUUAAGCAUUCUAAAAAUCAUAAUAAAUACAUUUAGUAUGAAUAUGCAUGCUUUUUCAAUUUACGGAACAUAUAUAACCACAUAUGAGAAUUUCUCAUAUGUAGGCUAGGUCAAACCCACCGAACCGUCGCGUAGGGUCUCGAUUCGCCGAACAAAGUUGUCCCCGAGUCUCAAAAUACCCUAAAAGUAAUCAGCGAAGAGAUACGAGGGCAUUACGACCAUCUUAUAAUAUCAAACAUUAACCUAGAAGCAAAAAGGGCCAAAACUAACCUCAAGAGUAGAAAUCUCUCCCAAAGCUCCAAAAGAGAGCUUGAACCCUUCCAAUCCAAGCCCUAGGAAGGUUCUAAACCAACCAAUCAAGCCUCAAAAGCCCUAGGUUCAAAAAGCCCAAAAAUAAACCCUAAGUCCCAAAACUAGGGUUUCAUCUCCCAAAAAUCACCAAAACAAGAAUCUAAAGGAGGAAACAUGUCACUAACCCUUUGGAAGCUUCAAUCCAAGCUCAAAAUGCCCAAGGUUGAAGUUUGGUCCACCACCAAGCUCCAAAAGUAAGCUCCAAUCCACCAAAAGGGAGAAGAAAGGGUGGAGGUGAAGCUCAAGUCCUCUACAAGCUCUUCUUCUCCUUCCUCUCCCACUCUCUCCCUCUCUCUCUCUCUCUAGAAGCAAGAGAAAUGGUGAAGUAAGGAAGGGGAGAAGGAGAAGUGGCCAUAUAAGCCUUCUCUUGUAACAAAAUCCUGUGAGGCCCCUCAAAAAUCUAAUAUUACAUCAGCCCGAACUGGGCAGUUUUCGCCCAGAGGGACUGGUCUCUCCCCAGCAGGGACCGGUCUCUCGCUGUGAACCCGAAAAACCAGCGUUCGAGAACCGGUCUCUCCCCGCGCAGGACCGGUCUCUCAAUGCGAAGACGCGCUCGGGGACCGGUCUCGCCUGCCAGGGACCGGUUGCCUCAGGCUGCCUCAACACUGCUCACUGGGAGACCGGUCUCUCCUUCCAGGGACCGGUCCCCGAGAGUAAAAACUCUCAGGACUUAUCCAGAAUUCCGAUUUUUGAACUUUUUAGGUCGGAAAAUAUUCUACAACCCUCCACCAAAUGUGGAAAAGCUCGAAAUACAUCCAAACACUCGAACCUCGCAAUUUGCAAAGGUCCAGUGUGUUACACGACCACUCCUAGUGGCCAUCAGCACCAACAGCAGCAAAACUAGUGAGAAUGCCGUUUUUCCUAUAUAAAAAAUGAACCUUGCAUGAACAAAAACCGAAAAAAUCUGUAAAAAUAGCGAAAAAAUUUCUAAUAAUAUUAAAAUACAAAAUAAUGCUAUUUCUAACUAAUUCAAGCAAGAUUUUUCAUCAAAAAUUGACAUUCCAACAAAAAUUUCAAAAUUCCAUAUGUAAUGAGGUACAGAUCACAGAUCAGCAAAAAAUAACGCAUUAUAUCAUGAUCUAAGUGUUCUAGAAGCAGGAAUAUAUGUCUAAACACUGAUUCAUAGCAAAAAAUUGCAUAAAAAACGGUUAAGAAUAGAGAUCAUGCUUCAACUCGGAAUUUUUUGAAAAAAAUAGUAAGAACGGGAGUACAAGAUUAAAUCCGAGGAAGAUACUCACAAAUUUUUGGGGAAACAAUAUAGAUUUGGAGGAGGAAGUCACCAGGGAUUUUUAGAGAGAGAAAAGAAAAGUUUUGAAUCAGAUUUGGGGAUGAACCGAACCCUGUAACCGGUUAUAAAAUCGCGGCUACAGUGUUUUGUACCGGUACACGGUAUUUUGUAUCGGUACACUUUACCAGAUUUUCGAAAAUUGUAAAUUUUUUUCUCAAAAAUUCUUCAAAAUUAAUUUCAUAAAAAUUAAAAGUUGUACUCCAAAAAUCAUUAUGAUGAAAAUAAAAUAUUAUAAGAUUUCAAAAUAUAUCGAAACAUCAAAAUUUUAGUUUUCAAAAAUAAUCUAAUGUUUCAAAAUCAUCAAGAUGUAACGAUUAAUGAAAAAUGAUUUUUAGAAAUUCGGCAAAAUUGACAUCCAUUUGUCGCAAGUUGUUCAAAAUAGAGAUUUAACUAAUAUGACACCGGGGGUGGCUCUUUGAGCAUCUUUUCAUCCUAUCACCUUAUAACACCGAAAAAUUCUAACAUAUUCAUUUUUUUCCAACCUUUUCAGUUAUUCAAUUAAAUUUUCAUGUGGUAGCUUCACACACUUAUCAGACGAUCGAAGUGGUAGCUCUUUCCUACAUGUGGUGGUAGUUUUCACACUCCUUUUUGGAUGUAACUCUUUCUACAUCUUUUAAACAUAAGAGUUUCUUCCCUUUUUUUAAAAAAAGAAAUUUUCAAUUCAAAACUCCUCCUAAAUUAGGCAAUCUCAUAAUUGAAAAUAAUUUUGACAAAUUUUAAUCUAUUAGCGAAUAUCCAUCCAUCAUAUCCAACACACACAACCAAGAUAGAUUAAUCACAAGAGAUCAAAUUUGAUUUCAAAAUUUUGGUGAAUAUAUGUAUUAAGAAUUCGUAUAUUAAAUUAUUGUCAACAUAAUAAAAAGUGGAGUAAAACCGAUAAUUAAAAUAAAUUUAACUUAAUAUGAAUGAGAAUUUAAAUACCGGUUAACGCAUUUGAAGAAAUUUUAAUCUCCCCAAGAUAAUGAUUUUCAAUCGUCUCCUUUCUCAAAGAAAAUUUUUAAAUUCCCAAACACCUUGCCUCAAAUCAAUUUUAAAAACAAAUUUCACUUCGUCUCCUUUCACUUUGUUUUCUUAAAAUUACAUGCACGAAAAUCAUCAUGUAAUGCAAUGAAUAAAAAUAUGCAACAAGCACCAAUCAAAAUAUUACAUAAAAAAUCAACAACGAACUAAGACAUGGAACAAGAAAAGAUAUCACCUUUCUGAAUCCAGACUUGUCAGAUUGUUGGUUGUCUUGUCCUGUCGACGUUAGGCACGGUUUGCUUCAACUUCAAACCAACCGUUGAACGCUUCUUUGCUUGUGGCUUCGGUCGGGCUUGACGUUGUGGCUUAGAAGUCCGAUUCCCUUGAGGUACUCGACUUGAUUGGGUUUCCUUUGAAUUCCGUAGGGAAAGUCGAGUAGUAGAUGAUGCCGCUUGAUGUUUAGAAUUUGCCGAUUGAUUUUUCUUUUUCUUAUUCGGGCAAUUCUUUUUGAUGUGUGUAGGGACUGAGAUUUUGACAGUGCAACUAAACUCUCUGUUGACGAUGUUUAUGUGUGUAGUUUAAUUACAUAAGCACUCGUCAAGUUUCAGGAGAAAAUGAGCUAAAACGGAGAAGUUACGCGAUUAUUAGUUUUCACUUAAGUGAAUAGUAACUCCGGUUUUUCGGUGAAGCCACGGAGUAGAGUUGGCUUUCUCCGCGUAUCGGACUCCGUUCAUAGCGAUCCAAUAGCUCGUUUCGACCGGUUCAGCUAUUCUGGAACUACUGGCGCUGACGGAUUUUGAGUUUGAUGCACGAAUUUCGAGAAAAUCCAAAAAUACAUGUUUUAUAUGUAUUUAUGUGUUAUUCCUUCUAUUGGAAAGAAAGUUUGGAUUUUGUCGUGAAUCCGUGGUCGAUCGUGGUGAAACAAAAUCGUAGCUUUGUUGUCUCCGAGGUGCUGAUCGCACUGGUGCAAUCCGUUCGCAAAUCUGACGGACGGAUCUGCGGAGAUCGCACGUUGAUCGAGGAGAGGUCGGUGUUGGAAAAAGGGUAAUUUCGCAAAAAGUGCGAUAUUUUAUGUGCCGUUUCGCGUGAAUUUGUUUGUGAAGGUGUAUUCGCGCAUAUUUCACGCGUUGUGAAGGGCUGGGAUAGAAAUAUUCUUAUUAGAGGGGCUAAAUUGCAUAUUGCCACAUAUAUAUAUGUGUGUUGGAACCUAGGGCUUCGUGGAAACCCUAACCCUAGCCCUCCCUGUGCACCAGCCGCCUAGGAGGCCCCCUGCCCACGCCGUGCUUGCACCCCGGCGGCCGGCAGCCGCCGCCGUCGCCGGAAAAGGCUUCCCCAAGCUCCAACCUUCCUCCCUCUCCCUCCACCUUGGCCGAGGAAGUUCCAAGCACCAUCCUGAGCCGGCCAGGCCUCGGGUGAGGUGAGCCCCGACCCAGGCACCCCCGCCGGCACCGUCACCGCCGACCCCCACCGUCGCCGUGCGCCGCCGGAGCCGCCGUAGCCGCCUGCGGCCCCAGGGACACCACCCAGGCCGAAGCUGGGUGGCUCGGGUGUGUGAGCCCUGCCGCCGUUUCCCGACGGCCGCGGAGGUCUCCACCGACCGUCCGGCGACCACCGCGCCCGACCCCGGCCACCCUCGAGGGCCGCCGGCCGCCGCAGGUGCCCCCUGCCGCCACCUUUGUGCUGUACGGGCCGAGCGCGGGCCGCCUUCACUCCCGAGCAUCGCCGCCGCCCGCCGACGCAAGCUCGGCCACCGCCUCGACCCCCGCCGUCGUUCCCAACCGGCCCCGACCAGCCCCGGCCGCCGCGUCGCCGCCGGCAACUGUUGGAAAGCACCAAACCGCAAGGGAGUUGGCGGCUCCGUACGCCGCCGCCGCACCUCCGGCCGCCCUGCGCCGCCUGACGUGGAGUUCCCCGGAGCCCCGCCACCUGGUGCACCCCUUCCCGGCCGGACCGCCCGCCGGAAUACCGCCGGCGGCCAACCCUAGCUCCCCCCUCACUGUGAGUGUCCAUUUAUGCAUUCCAGCACUGUUUUCCCACUUUCCGGUAACUAUUCCGGCAAUCCGAAUGGUCUUUUUGACCUCGGGAAGUGAGCACGAUGAUCCUUAGGUCGUGCUGAACAUCGUGCUCACUUCCGUCGAGCCCUGAGAUGCCUUGGUUGCUCGGGCAACCGCGAUCUUCCUGCGGUGCGCGCUGCUUCGCUGACCUUCGCGUCGCUUGUGCGCGCACCGCAGUCGCCGAAUGUGCUCCGAAUGGUGAGCACGAUCUCCGGCACGCUGAAAUCUAUCAGCGGGUGCGACGGUUGACCCAGCGAACCUCGUAUCGCAAGAUCGGGCCAUAAAAACUGUCGAAAAUCGCAUAAAAUGAUAGAUUUUAGGGUUCAUGUUGUGCUUUCUUGCUUAUAACUUCGACUCGGUCGCUGUGGACAGCGUGUAAAUGCUGAGGGUAACCUCUGGACUAAUCGUCCAAGGCCCCAAGCCACUGCGGAGAUCGAAAAGCCUUGUUUGGGGCGUUUCACGGCGAAACUCGUCGACGGAACGCGAUCUUAGUUCGGUUUUUAUCCGACGGUGCCUCGGGAUCUGUUGUGAUGUCGCUAAGCCUUCUUGGCAGGUCACCCGUGUCGUUUCGGGGGUUCGAAAACGACGGGUGAGCGACUGGUGGGUCCCGGUGUCAAAAACGACACUUUCGGGAACCCGGUUCGAGACGUUUAGUCAAUGAUGUUUGUUCCGAGGCGAAGUGUGGUGUUUACUGCCAAUGUGGGUUAUUAUAGAGUAUUAGUGGUGGCGGUUGACUCCCAGUUGGAGUUGGGGAGUUCCGGGACAAUUAGUGGACCCCGGCGAAGCCCCGGUGCGAUAUUCGGGACACCCGGUGUGAUUCGGCAAUCGGUCUUGGGAAACCGAUUCCCGUGGUUCCUUCUCUGGGGAUUUUAUAUUAGUUGCUGACAUUAGGGUUUCCUUCUGAUCUUGUGGACCCUUUGUAGGUCCGGUUGCUCUGUUCCCCGCCGUCGUGAGAUCUGAUCCAGACUCGUACAGGUGGGUACUUCGAUCCGACGUCGGUACAGUGGUGCACGCUCGGUGACGUUUCCUUUACCCUUGUUGUUUAUAUCUUUUAUCAUAUAUACGUUGAGCCUUGCACCCAUACUGUUUCCUUAUUACUCUACUUAGUUGUUGCCAGGUGUAGUAUCAUGUGUAGGAGUAGAGUAGACUUUAUCUGUAUAUGAUCUUCAUGACCUGGUUGGUCGUCGUUGCAUCUCCUACACUUGUGACCUGGUUAGUGGUUUCUUGUACUUCGUAUCAGUGACCUAGUUGGUUGAUUCUUUGACUUCUGUUGUCCGAUGACCGUUGAGGUCGGUGUACCCUGAGAGGUCGGAUUGUCGGCUAGUGGCUGACGAUAGUUCAUAUCUUAUACUUGUGACAUUGUUGGUCGAGUUUCAUACGCUAUACUGGCGACCUGGUUGGUCGAGUCUUCUGUGUCGUAUCUAGGACCUUGUUGGUCGAGCUUCCUAUCCUAUACUUGUGACCUUGUUGGUCGAGUUUCAUAUCCUGUACUGGUGACCUGGUUGGUCGAGUUUCAUACCCUAUACUUACGACCUGGUUGGUCGAUUUGUUUACAUGAUGACCCAUGCGGUCGAUGGGCCCUGGGGGGCAGGAUUGUCGGCUGGUUGCCGACGGUUGAUCGUUGAGCAUAUUGCAUUGAUCGCCCGAUACUCGUCGCAUUUCACGAACACUGGCGGUCUGAUCCACAGCAAGGAGUGUUCUUUUCCGAAAAAGUGGUUGAAUGGUGACAACCCGUGAGCCCUAGAGGGGUUAUAUGCGUGUUAGAGCGGCAGUGGUACUGUCGGGAGGUGUUGCGGUGCGGACCUCCAGGGCAUUGGCUUGAGGUCUGCGGUGCUGACCAAGAGAGCAUUGGUUUCAGAUUGGGUACUUUUGGACUUCUUGACCGGUUGACGCAUAUGUCUAUAGUAGCAGUCGUUGCAUGCAUACUUACAGUUCUUACUUUAUAGUUGUCUUGCUGCUAUAGUAGAUAUUCAUGUAUGCUUUCGGUUCCAGUUACAGUAGCGGUAGCCGUUAUUCAGUCUAGUUCUUACUUUCUUUCAGUUUAUUGCUACUGUAUUUAGUAUAUCUGCUCAUUACCUCUUACAUCUCUUUUGUUUACUAUUGUUCCUACUGUAUUUCCACUGACCCGUGUUGUUGUAUAGCUCUUCCUGAUCCGGUGAGUACUCCUCGCCUUCUUCGGCUUGCGGUACCCACUGGGAGGGGAGACAUGUUUACAUGUUCUCACCUCCCCCACCAUUUUUCAGGUAUCGCGGGCGAUGAAUAGUGGGACGAGACGUGAGGUACGUGUGUAGCGGUCGAUAGAGCUUCCGACCCAGGUUAUUUCGGUAUAGUUAUUACCCUUAUUAUUUCAGUUGUUAUAGCUUAGAUAGUUAUAUGGUUCAGUAUUUUUAUUACAUUUGAAAAUAUGGAUUUUCGUGAAUGUAAUAAAUGAAUUUCUGGAUUUUGUGAAAUAAAAGGUUUUCUACCCCUCGUGGUAGCGUUUUUAAAGAAUAAAGGUUUCCGUGUAGGAAACAGUUUUCAAAAGGUUUUCUGUGGAUUUUGCAUCUUAGUAUUUCAAAACCUGUUUCUGUGGUUGGAAACAUUUUAACUGAUAGAUGUGGAUUUAUGUUUAAAUAUCGAAUAUAUAAAUGUGAACCUGUGAUGUGAAUGGUGUAUGAAUAUAUAAUUGUUGGUUAUUUGUAUGUUCAUUUGGUUGUGGUUGUACCUGGGUUACUUCUUGUAUUUGUGUGACGCCGUGCAAAUACAGGGGAGACUCUGUCCGUGUAAACAGUGGAUUCCCUGUGUUUGUGGCGGAUCUGGCAUACUCUGGGGUCAGGCUUUUCAAAAGAAAAAAAAAAAUUUUUCAGACGCUUUUCCGCUAUGUUUUAAACUAAAAGAGACCCCGGGGCGUGACAAUGUGUCCUUUGAUGCCACAUCCAUGACGCAGUUUUUCUUUUGAAUUUGUUGAGACUUUAGUAGUUGACUUUAAAUCCUUCUCAAUGUAAGUCCGCUCAUAACCGAGACUAAGCUUGUUCAUUUGACCCAAUUCGAGCAUAUGGUCCAAUUUCUUUGAUCCCGAAGAAAACUUUUGAAUGUCGGAUUGAAAUUGACAAACUUGAUUGGUCAAGACUUGAUUGGAUGUGUAGGUUUCUUUGAAUUGUUGCUCUAAAAAUCCAAUCUUGUCUUUAGAAGAUUUGAUUGUUAAUUCCGCUUCAUCUAGCUUCUCUUGGAGGAUUGAAUUAUUUUUCAAAUUUGAUUCCCUUUCCUCCUCGAGAGCUUUAUUCAUUGUCUUCAAAUUGUUGUUUUCUUCUUCAAGAUCCAAUAAACGCCUUCUCAACUUCUUAUUAUGCUUUGCCAUCUUAUUUGAUUCAAUAAGAAGUUGAUUGUAUGCUUCCGCUAUAUCCUCGUCGUUUGACUCCUCCUCGCUUUCGCCAUUAUCGCUCGAAGACCCAUGCAAGGAAGGAGAAAUACACGAGUCAGAAACACUAGGGGAUAAACAAACAACAUUAGGCGAAGACAAAGAAGUGUUAGUAAAUAAAGCAAGAUUUCCAUUCUUUUCUUCGUCACUUGAAGUUGAUUCGUCCGAAGUAGAAUCAUCACAAGUUUUUGCUUGCAAAGCCUUUUGUUUAUAGGGUUUCUUAGAAGGACAAUCUGUUGCAAUAUGGCCGUAGCCUUUACAUUUGUAACAUUGGAUUUUCCCUUCAAAUUCAUCUUUUUCUUUCGAAGACUUUGCAAGUUUUUUAUCCUUAGAUUUUGAACUUGAAGAUUGUUUAGAAAAAGAUUUAUGCUUCGAAGAUGAAGCUUUGUCCGAUUUGUUCUUCUUUCGAAAAUUCCAACGACACUUCUUCGUUAGGAGUGCCAAUUGAUGUUUGAAAUCCGCAAUUGAGACCUCUCCAUCAGAAUCCGUGUCUACGUCUUCUUCCUUUGAUGUUUUCAAUGCAACCCCUGUACUUUUAGAAAAAGACUUGGAAGAAGAUUGGUUAGUAGGAAAUGUCAUCUCAUAAGUUUGCAACGCACCUACUAACUCUUCGACUUUCAUCUCGUCCGGAUGCUUAACCGUUUUAAUUGCGGCAACCUUUGCCCUAAAACGUUUCGGAAGAGUUCAAAGUAUUUUUCUAACAACUUUGGCAUCCGGAAUUUUCUCUCCCAAGUUAGCACAUAUAUUAAUUAUAUCUUGAAGUCUAGUAUAAUAAUCGGUAAAAAAUUCAUGCUCCUCCAUACGAAUCGAAUCAAAUUGACUUAUCAACAUUUGGAGCUUUUGAAUUUUAACUAGACUCGUACCCUCAUGUGUAACUUGUAGAGUAUCCUAAAUUUCCUUGGCGGUUUCACAUGCCGAAACACGAGUAAACUCGGUUUGUGACAAUGCAUUAAAUAAAGCGUUUAUGCCCUUGCCAUUGAACGAAGAUGACUCUUUGUCGUCUUUCGUCCAUUUAUUUCUCGGUUUAGGGACGGUAGCAUUAUCGACGACUUCGGUAGGAUGUUUCCAUUCGAAUUCGAUUGAUUGCCAAACGCGCUCAUCGAUUGUAAUUAGAAAAGCUCUCAUGCAAACUUUCCAAUAGGCAUAAUUCGUGCCAUCGAAGAGAGGUGGUCGAUUAAUGUUACCGCAUUCGGCCAUGAUAACAAUUUAUCUAGAUCCCGCUCUGAUACAAAUUGUAAGUUUUAAGGAGCCCAAGGAUCUAUCUAGAUUGUAUCAAACACCUAGAGGGGGGUAAAUAGGUGUAAAAGUCAAAAAUCUCAAAUCUCAAUGCGGUAAAAAAUAAAUGUGAAAAAUAAAAAUCAUACCGAGAUUUACGUGGGAAAACUCCAACUUGGAGAAAAACCCACGGGACCAACACGUGAAAAAAUAAUUCACUAAGAGAAAAGAUUACAAGAUGAUUACCGACUCCACGGACUCAACCUCUCUUAACCUCCUAUGAAUCUCGCGCAAUCCUCCGGGUUGUCCACGCCCUCACGUUCGAAUCCACGAACGCCUCGCACACGUCCGAAUCCACGAACGCCAGUCGAAUCCACGAGCUCACGAUCCGAAUCCACGAAUCGCCUUCAAUCACGCCGAAUCCACGACGCCGUCCAUGAAGAGCAUCAUGAGUAUGGUGAUCCUUCGCUUAGAGUAUCGAUGAAAAGCAAGGAAAAGAACUCCAAGCGAAGAGUAGAUCAAAUCGACAUAUAGAUAUCAAUUUUCAAUAUCUCGAUUUGACCUAAAAGAUGCGUCUUUGAAGAAAAUAGGUUUUAGAUGAAAUCUGAGCCUCUAGGGUUUCUCAAACAUGUAUUUUCGUGAUGCUUGAUGAGUUAGAGAACCCUAAUACCUUAUUUAUCGGAUUAGAAAGUUUUCGGAUUUUUUACAUUGUGUACCAGUACAAAAUUAAAAUGUUACCGGUUACACGAUGACGGAACAGGAAACAAUAAAGCCUCAAAACUAGUUACAAGUUGAUGGUUGUACCGGAACAGGUUUUGUACUUGUACACUUGCAAUGUUGUACCGGUACACAGUGCAUUUUCCAGAAUUUGCACUGUUUUGGGUUUCGCACAGCUCCGAGGCACUUUCUAAUUCAUUAAACUUUGAUAUUUAUGAUUUUAAUGUCUAUAAAUAAGUAUGAAUCAUCAUAACAUGAAUUAAAACUUUACUUGAGCAUCAUGAUUCACGUCAUGAGAUAUUUCAGCUUUCCUCGAAGUCUUGGAUUCUUCGUUCUUCGACGAUACGCACCGAUCCUUCAAGACUCCGACUCAAUUCACGAAACUUGCCAACACACAAGACUUAACAUUGGUGAGCACAACCCACCUCGCAACGCUCUCCGAUUGCUUGUCGACACUUGCAAUCGGACUUCCGCGGCACACAAUAUCCGGUUCGGCUUGAAUACGCAAUCGAUCACCGAACGCCCGCUAAUCCGCGACCUAGGGUCAUCAAUGGUUCAUCUCUAACCUUCAAUUAGAGAACAAUAGGGUUUUAUUAGAUCAAAACCCGCUAAUUUCCAAACCCUCAUUUUACGCCCUAGCAUGAAAUUAACCUCCAAAUAUUCUAAAAUUAAAUAGAAAGACAUGCUAGAAACACUUUAGAGACUACUAGAACACUAAGCGUUAAGGAUUGAACCAAAUCCUAAAUACUUACCGAAAUUGCGAACGCUGAGUCGCCAAUCGGGCGCACGAAAACUCGAUCCGUCGCUUCCAACGCGUUCACAAGCUCGCUCUCCGCCAACGCUGCGAAUUUGAGAGAGAGAUCUAGAGAGAUGAGAGAGAUAUUUAGAGAGAUAAAGGGAGGGUUUCUCUUUCCCUCCAUUCCAUACGUGUGGGUGUGUGUGUGCUGUGAAGAAGAAAGGGAAGAAGCACCUUUUUACAAUCAACCUCCACAACACUAAUUUCGGUUUAGCAGCUCAGAAUCUGUUCCUUUUUGCUGGAGCCCUUCUGAAUGUCCGUUUGCACUCAAAUUUGACAGUCAGGCUCGGUUUAAGCUAACAAGAAAUAAAAUAUCUUAACUUUCCAGUUUGGACCACUUUUGGUCACCGAAAGCUUUACCGAAUUGUAAUCUCUAGCAGAUAGCAGUCGGAUUUUAUUUUUCACUUUCUGGGUGUCGGAAUGAUAUGAAACUUUAAAUCUAGCCUCAUAAAAAUAAUCCUGACAUAUUCCCAGAUUCAUAAUUUUUUGACACUGUGCAUUUUUUGCUAAAAAUGCCAGUCUCGUCUCUCACAGAAAAUUCUAAAUCUUCUGUUUUCAUUCCGAUUUCAACACGAGUCAUUCCAGACUUACAUUUUACUUCUUUAAGUCCAAUAAAAAUAGUAUCUUAUACUGUUUUUAUUUACACUUAAUUUUGUAUCACAAUCUGGUACAUUACAUUCUCCCCUCCUUAAAGGAGUUUCGUCCUCGAAACUUCAAUCAUACCUCAACUCGGCUUAUCGAGUAAUUGAGGACAACAUUGCACUUUCCCACUCCGGAGUGGCCUUACACAUAUUGAAACUGUCCAAAGGCCCACUACGGAGGAUGUGAGACCAUCCUGACACGCAUUUACCAAAUGUAACACCAAAAGUGCAUUACGGUUUUCGCAAGUCUCGGUGGCAGCGCAAGUCGACACUCGACGACUCUACACCCUCCACACCACUCGCUAACCAGCUUAAAAUGAACCUCUCUUUGCAUUUCGCAUCCCGUCAGGGAACACACUUCGAUUCGAUCACCGGCAUUGCUUAAAAGCAAUAUCAUUGGUGCAUUGCCCAAUUACGAGUGCUUCAGUUACAACCGGAUCUUUACUUUACUACGAGAUAGCACACUUCGGCACAUCUCCAAUUUCAAUCCUCUAAAGAGCAUUUUCUUCAGAUUCCGCGUGGCUAUCCACUAACCAAGUGUCUCCUAGAGACCACUUUAUCUUUUGAUACCAUAUGCCACAACCAACUCGAAUUCGUUCCUACAACGAACUUACACGGACUCUCCGUUCGUGAAUCCAAGCCAAACUCAUCGGCAGAGUUAUCGGCUAAACCGCUCACCGCGGUUUCCACAGGUAGACAAAAGGUCACCGAUCCUACGUAUGCCUACAGUCUAAACCUGUUGCAACUACGCGUAACGUCUCUCGCUCGCAAGUGUUGACCCAAUCAUCACUGGGCAAAAUUCUCACUUGGGAAUUCGCACACACUCUAACCAGGAGCAAACAUGACCCCAAACCACUACAAAUCCUCGGGUUGGGUCAUAACCGAACUCUCGGUAUACUAUCGAUCACACAAUCUAAUACGUGGCAUUCCACGCUCCUGGGUUUAAGCUCGGACUGCCGUGCUAACCAAAACUCUGCCCUACCCGUAGGUACCGGGCUGCUGCUCCACACAGCUGACUAUGCCUGACCAAACGGCCCCAGGCUCCACAGUCCACAAGUGGUCUAGGCACGGGUUGUCUCUAAGCAACAACCGAAGUCGUCGUCCUACACGACAUACUCUACCGAGCCACAUGUGCCACUUCCGGCUCCUAAGCACCUAGUGCGAGCCACCAGCCCUACGAGUGAUCCAAGGCACGCUUCACACUUAGCAACGCUAAAGUGCUACUGCCAACUCACUCUCUUGGUUGAAUUGAAUCCGCACUCCACGAGUAACUACACUCGAGCGUCGUACUCUUCUAUAGCGUUCCACAUUACGUUCCGCAUUAGGCAGCCUUGCCUAUGCACACCGGCCACACGAGCACGACUCACCCACCUUGCAAUUCGAGGUACUACUAGGCCCACGUGCUUGUACUUGACCACUAACCAACUGUUCCGUCAACAGUGAUUCUACUCUCACUGUUCGAUCUAUCGGAGCAACAUCCGUAAUACUCGGACUACUCGGGUGUUCUCAAGAGUCAUGGCUCAACUCUCGCAAUCUACUAACCACAUUGCUUUGAGAGUCGGUCCGCUAUUUUCCAUCCCUACCGCGAGUCUCACUUCUCGCCCACAGGCCACCAGCAAUUUGCUAGUGCCAUCAGGCUCUCUACUUGCUCCAGCAGGUACUACACUCUUACUGCAUGAGAUGCCCGGGUAUCUACACUUACCCGUCCAUUCGGUCCCUACUAUACUGAUAUACAAAUAGUAGCAACUGACUACAUGACACAUGCAUGCAACUAGGGAUGUCAAUGGGUAUGGAUAUCCGAAAUUUUAUCCAAACCCGAACCCGAAUGAAACGGAUAUAUCCGAUGGAUAUGGAUAUGGAUAUAAAAAAUAGAAACCUGACGGAUAUGGAUUCGGAUAUGGAUUUUGAUUGUACCCGACCCGAACCCGAAUCCGACCCGAACCCGACCCGAACCCGAAUUUAUUUUGUAUAAUAUAUAAUAUAUAUAUAUAAAAUUGAUGUUAUAUUUGAAUUUGUAUUUUAAAAAUUUAGAUUUAAUAUAAUAUUUUUUGAAAUAUUGAAAAAAGAAAUAAUUGUUUCGGGUUCAAAUUUUCGGGUUCGGGUUUGGGUUNGGUAUAGGUUUGGGCUUGGGCUGGUUUUUAGGCUUUGGGCUUGGGUUUGGGCUUGGGCUUUUAAACUUGGGCUUUGUUAAUAAAGAAAAAAGUUAUAAAGUUUUAUAUAAUAUAAUUUAAAUUUUAAAAUUUUAUGUUUAAGUUUAUAUUGUAGUUUAAAAAUAUAUAAUUUUUAAAAUCCGUCGUGUUUGGGUUCGGGUUCGGGUCUCGGGUUUGGAGUCGGAUUCGGGUUCAGGUUUUUAAAAAUUCACCCCGAAUCCGACCCGUUGACAUCUCUACAUGCAACGCACCAACUUUACAUCCUGCAGAAGCAUAUGCUUGCUUCAACUAAACCAUACCUGCCAUGAUGUCGUUCAGCCCGGUUCGCGUAUCCAUGGCCACUUGGCACCCGCCGCGAACCCUCCGAUUGCAUUAUCCUUAAUACCCGCUCUUUAGACCAUGCCGCAGGUGCCACACCUGCAGGCCGUCCCAGAGAGGAAAAGGCCGUCAUCAGUGUCAAGGUCUGGUUACUGCCUUGUAGACACUCACCUCGCACAUAGCCCAGUUGCCCACACCUGUAGCACUUGCCCUCCCGCUGCUCACACUGUUCUGGAUAAAGAAGAACACCCGCAAACAACACAUCCUGCAGAGGACCGAACGUGGUAGGUCCCCAGGACUCGGGAUCGCGAGUGCAAACACAUUGCAAUCAAUUGAGAACUUGACGGACCACCGGAUCCACUCGUUGGCCGUCCUAUUCCCUUUUCCUUGCAAUAAGACUCGCGCUCCACCCGCAUAAUUGCACUGCCUUGUUCUAUCUACAAGGCCUAAUCCUCAAAUCUUCUCCAAUCUACACCAAUCCACACUCGAGAAGGGCUCCUGGAGAGAGAGAGGGAGAAAAAUCAUAUGCAGGGGUGGUCUCUAGCUGUGAACAAGAGAGGAGGAGUUGGGGCCCUUUUAUAAGCUGCCACAAUUGCAUAAAAGCUCCUCAAACAAUCUCCAAUUGCAACAGACCAAAACUACAGUUUUCUGCAGUUGGUACUGGUACGCGAGACUUUUGUCACCGAUUUGACAGCUGCGUAGAGGCCAACCCGAGAGCUGCUUUCUUGGAUAGCCGCUCUGGUACCGGUACGCGCCAGGGGUGUCACCGGUUUAACAACCAAAAUUUUUCAAACCCGAGAGGUACUGCUCUCGGUCUGCUACGGGGUACCGGUACCACCUUGAUACCGUACCGGAAUGAAAUGCCCAGACUGCAGUUUAGCACUUGUUCGACUUCUACUUCGCGCCGAGCAAUGCUAAAACUCAUUAGUCCCGUCUGGAACUCAAUUUUAACCCUUCCAACAUUGUUGGAAUAUCGUAUGGAUUUCGUCCAACCAUAUCUCUCGCCACACCUCGGUCAUUCUGACCAAAAGUGGUUUAACACGACAAGAACCCACCAACCUCUUAGAGGUCAUGAGGGCCGCCGAAGCUCGCGAAGUUCCAAGUCUCCGCUCGCCUCAAAUUGCUCAGGGACAUCACUUGUCCCAUCCCGCGCCGAUCUAGAUGAAAAUUGCCUACGCGGUGCCAUCGCUUCUCGAACAUGACACUUGAUCGAUCCUCGACCCUCGAGGUCAAGUACGAAACAAUUAACAUCGACUCAAAUCGGGCGAAAGUCACGCAAGGGCGUCUAUUUUCAUCACUCUGUUUCAUGUUUUGCGCGCCCAACACGAACACCCUUAGUUGAGAAUAAACCACAACUUGGAUCUACCUCUAAUAUCCGUCUUAGAGGUUUAUAACACAACCCAAUCGAUUAACCUUUUGCCAUACGUCACAAGUCCUCGUCUCUCAAGAGCCUUAAUCUCUAUGGUUUACUAUCCUAGGGUCUCUUCGGUCCAACUAAACCAUUCCCAUUCUCUACUUUAUACUCUGAUACCACUUUAUCUGUCACGCCCCGAGACGCACCUAUUUGGUCGGAUUCGGGUCCGCUAACAAACCGCCGAACGGACAGAGUUUCUCCUGUACGUCCUUGGCGUCGCAAUCAAUAUAAAGCGCGAGAUUCCAACCAGGAACAGAUUUCAAGUAGAGAUUGCAUAAGGAAGUAUCAAAAACAUAAAACAACUAAUCUAUUAUAAGCAUUCACAUCACAUACUUUUUACGUAUUACAUUUUCAUUUUCUUUUCUUCCAAAUACAAUCAAGAUUACACAAAUAAUGAUUUCCUUCUCUUUUCUACACCCCUAGGUAGGUUGACUCGGGGUACCGCUAUCUCUGGUCUUAGUAGUAGGGCGCUAUCUACGAAGCUACGCCCUGUCCUCGCGCCGCCGCGCCGCUCACGUGUGAACCUGUACCCCCAAAAAUAACACGGGGGUGAGAACUAUUGUCCAUAGUUUCCAGUGAGUAAGGCCACCCAAGGAAAAAGCUCGACCCACCAGGUCCGAAGGAGGCACUGUAACAUAUUAGUCCAACAAGUAUUCACAGAUAUAUAUAUUUCAUCAAAUAUUUUAUACAACUAACAUUUAUCACGUUCAUGCCUCGCAACAUGCAACAAUGCAAAUCAUGCAACUCAAUAUGCAAUGAGGUAAGUAGAUUUACUAAUUCUACUCGCUAUCCACAGCUCAUCAAAAUGACAUCUAAGUUUUCCUCUAUCUUAAAUUCAUGUCAAUUAUAAUUCUGCUCAUAAGGUUUCAUCAGCCUUUACUGUUGCUCACAAGGUUUCAUCAACCUUUACAAAGCUAUCCACUUGACUCGGUCUUGAGUCAAUCAUCUGCGGAAUAUCGCGCAAAGCCAGACUCAAGGUGAAGGACAUCUCACUUGCACCUUAGCCUUAAAUCCACUCAACUGGGAUACCAACUGGGAUGCCAAUCGACUCUUCUAGGAUUCAUCCAUAGCUCACAAGAAUGUCACCCAAUCUCACUAGCUAACCAAAAGGUUAAACCCCGACUCACUUUAAAAAUCUCAUAGGUGAGGAGAAUCUGCACUCGCACACCGAGACCGUCUGCGGAACAACUACAUCUGCCCCUAUCGUGAAGUACUCCGGAGACCACUGUUUGAGUGGAGCGACCACGCCAAGUAAAAAUAGACUAAGUGAGUAUAAUCCAAUCCUCUCACUCGAGAAUACCCUGUCUACUAGGUUUAACAACGACACGGGAAAUCCACUAAUCCCAACAAUAAUGUCACAAGUGUCUCUACUACACUAGUUUCACGUGGCACAUAUCCACGACUCGGGAAAUCAUCUAUCCCUAUGUUUAUGUCAUAGUGUCUCUACUACACUAAUCCAAAUGCCACUCGAUCUACUUGUCAUUCUACUUGUCCACAUCAAGUAUUAUAGUUUUCAUGUUCUUGUUUUCCAAUGUCGAAUUCUCUAAUCGACCAAGUUCAAUAUGCAUAGUUCCUCUACUGUGAUCCACAAUAUGGCAACAUGCAUAUCAUCUAGCAUAUUCUAUAACAUAUCAUCAUGCAUUUAUUUAGCAUUAUGUAAUCAUGCAUCCCAUCUAACAUUUUUACAAUAUAUCAUCAUGUACCCAAUGGUAGUCUAACAUAGCAUUCAACUUAUGCAUUCAUAUGUUCUACAACCAACUACCAUUAUAUGCAUCAAUAAUAAACAUCACUACGCUUCGACAUAGAAGCGAGCUAAACAUUUCGGUGAGCACAACCCACCUCGCAACGCUCUCCGAUUGCUUGUCGACACUUGCAAUCGGACUCCCGCGGCACACAAUAUUCGGUUCGGCUUGAAUCCGCAAUCACUACAACAGAAUUAGGUUAUAGGGACACAUGUUUGGGACACUUUCAUGUAAGUGUCCCAUUUUUGCCAAAACUUAAAAAAAUAUAUACUAAUGCUUAAAUAUAAAGCCCAAUCCAACCAAAAAUAAAAGGUUACUCUACUCAACCCACCCCACCCAACCCAUUCGGCCCGAUUACAAACAGAAUAGAAAAAAAAAAAAAUCGAUUACUAUCUCCCCUUUUCCCUUCACUCAAUCCAUUGAAAUUCUAGACGAAGAGCCAUUCCCUCUCGUCCUCCUCCGACAUCGCAGCCAAUGAGGUAGAGUUUCGACGGUUGCUAAAUGCUUAAAUAAGUGUUGGUAAAUUAGCAACACUCUUUUUAGGUUAUAGCGACACUUUUUAACUGUCACUAUAUACCUAGGGACCCCACAUAUAGCAAUACUUUUUAAAAAUGUCGGUAAUUUAGCCAGCAGCACUUUUUUUUACCUGUACCGACAUUUAAAAGUGUCGCUAUAGACCGUUGUUGUUGUAGUGAAUCUAUCACCGAACGCCCGCUAAUCCACGACCUAGGGUCAUUAAUGGUUCAUCUCUAACCUUUAAUUAGAGAACAAUAGGGUUUUAUUAGAUCAAAACCCGCUAAUUUCCAAACCCUCAUUUUACGCCCUAGCAUGAAAUUAACCUCCAAAUAUUCCAAAAUUAAAUGGAGCGACAUGCUAUAAACACUCUAGAGACUACUAGAACACUAAGCGUUAAGGAUUAAACCAAAUCCUAAACACUUACCGAAAUUGCGAACGCCGAGUCGAAAGCACGCCGCUUAACCGGGCGCACGAAGACUUGAUCCGUCGCUUCCAACGCGUUUACAAGCUCGCUCUCCGCCAACGCUGCGAAUUUGAGAGAGAGAUCUAGAGAGAUGAGAGAGAUAUUUAGAGAGAGAAAGGGAGGGUUUCUCUCUCCCUCCAUUCCAUACAUGUGGGUGUGUGCUGUGAAGAAGAAAGGGAAGAAGCACCUUUUUACAAUCAACCUCCACAACACUAAUUUCGGUUUAGCAGUUCAGAAUCUGUUCCUUUUCGCCGGAGCCCUUCUGAAUGUUCGUUUGUGCUCAAAUUUGACAGUCAGGCUCUGUUUAAGCUAAUAAGAAAUAAAAUAUCUUAACUUUUCAGUUUGGACCACUUUUGGUCACCGAAAGCUCUACCGAACUGUAAUCUCUAGCAGAUAGCAGUCGGAUUUUAUUUUUCAUUUUCUGGGUGUCGGAAUGAUAUGAAACUUUAAAUCUAGCCUCAUAAAAAUAAUCCUGAUAUAUUUCCAGAUUUUCAUAAUUUUCUAACACUGUGCAUUUUCUGCUAAAAAUACUAGUCCCGUCUCUCACAGAAAAUUCUAAAUCUCCUGUUUUCAUUUUGAUUUCAGCACGAGUCACUUCAGACUUAUAUUUUACUUCUUUAAGUCCAAUAAAAAUAGUAUUUUAUACUAUUUUUAUUUACACUUAAUUUUAUAUCACAAUCUGGUACAUUACACCAGUGCUUCUACCUCUUUCAGGAGCAUCAGGUGUACCCCUUCUUCAGUAACUCGAACAAACGAGAUCUGGUCAAGGUUUGGGUCGGCCCAGUUGAUGUGGCCGACAUCCUUUACAUUUACGUUUAGGGGGCGUUUGGAUUGACGUAUUUGUAGAUUCAACGUAAGUCAAGUGCAGUGGUGUUUGAGUUUCCCUGAAGUGUGAUUAUUUUUUUUGUUGUUUGUUUUGACGUAACUCGUACGGCCUGAAAGUUAAAUUCAAUCACUUCUGUUGUUUGUUUUGAUGUAACUUGGUGCUGGUAAAAUUAGUUUUUUGAGUUCCGUUGUUUGUUUUGACGUAAGUAAGUAGAUCUUAUUAUCUCCUAAAUAUAGUAGUAAAUUUACCACUAUAAAAUUUAAUCUAUUAUAUAAUUAAUUUUUUUAUUAUUAUUUAAAGAUAAUCCUAAUUUAUUAUAAAUAAGGUAAUUCUAACCCAUUAUAAAGGAAGUAGAGUUUAGAUUUUACNACCACUCCUUGUAGAAGAAAAAUAAAUCCAGUAGUCAAUUUUAUAUCAGCAAUAUUACUUAUCCAAUUUCCUUCCAAUACCGCAGGAAAACCAGUAUAAUGUAAUUCAUAAGAUACAGUCCCCUUCAGAUAUCUCAAGACUCUUUUUAAGACAUUUCAAUACUCUCUGUUUGGAUUACGGAUAUAUAUCCUCAAUUGGUUCACAGCAUAAGCCAAAUCAGGUCUAGUGUAAUCCACCAAGGCGAUGUGAAACGUGUCUCACACUUCCGGCUGGUAAACAGCUCUGAUACCAAAUAUAUAACGACUCGGCCCAAUAACUUGUUGGGCUCAAAUCACCGAUCCAAAAUACUUGAACUCAAUAUUAGGUCCAAUUUUUCUCUUCUUAUUUCCAGAUAUCUUCACUUUAGCUAGGCACCCCCACACUUCAAAAUAAUUCUGAUUAGCCUUUCUACCACCAAUACUGUAAGGCAUCCAAGUCUCAAUGGUCCUGAUGAAUAUGAUAGUAGCAUUCAAUAUCCAACAGACUAUUUUUGUUCCCAAAGACUAGGAUCUUUGUUCAAGAAUAUCCGACGAAAGAGUUGAACGUCAUGUUGUGAGAAAUAUAAUGAAUAAUUUAGUAAUAAAAGAGUUCUCAUCAAAACCUUUCUAAGAAACCCAGAUAGCAAGGAUCGGUUCCGAUAAACAUCGCCAUACUACAGUGUUAAACUGUUGGAGUGAAUGUUAUCCAUAUACGGCCGAACUUCUCAUCAACAGUGAUGGAUUCUAAUUUUCCUUGUUCCAACGAAAACUCCAAAAAAAUACCAAAAAAAAACUUUUCAUAAAACCGAGAAGACCAAAUUAGAGAAUUAUAGAAACUCUGACCAAAUUCUUUUAUGCCCUUGCUUCGAAGAAUCCGAACCGCUCAGGCAAUUGUUGAGAACCGUCGCUCCACCACCGACUUCAAUCGAAACUCAAACUCCUCAAAAUAACAUAAGUGACUCCGACUCAUCCCAAACCAAAGUCAAAAUUCAGGAUCAAAAUUAAUAAUAAGAUAACUCACAGAGCGCCAUUAAGAAGAAAUUCCUUAUCAAACUGUGGAAGCGUGAAGUCCGGCUAUGAUUGUGGAACCGAUAGUAAUUCUUCACCCAAAUGCGUAUAAUAUAUUUUAAUUAUAAUAAAAGAAAUAGAACGAUAAAAUCAAAGCAAAACAACACCAAAGACAGACACACUACUUUGAAUUGCUAACAUAACAUUUAUGUUCAAUCCCUGUAAGAUUAGAUAACUGUUUUUCGUAUCUUUAUUAUAAAAUCCGUCACGCAGAAUAAAUAAAUAAAAAUAAAUAAAUAAAUAAAUAAAUAAAUAUCAUAACCAGGUGUAGCUCACAAGUCCAAACAAUAGCACCAAUGGAUUGGGCAGUCAACUUAACCUAUAUUAAAUGUUUGACCGAUCUAAAGCUAACCAAAAUAUAUAUAUCCCACAUAUAACGUGGCAUGUAAGUAGCAUAACUACCAAUUCCAUAUGGGCCAACUCAACACCCGCAUACAGCUCCAAGAAAAAUAAGAAGUACAAAUCAAAACUGUUCCUACCGGAUCCUUCAACUAACUUUAUCGUAACCACAGAUCGCGAAACCGAUCGUAUAUAAUCGAACACUACUUUCGCAAUGGACGCAUCAAGAUCGACAAAGAUCCAACCAUGAUGGAGGUCUAUAUGCAUGCAACAAUAAAAUUUUAUGUACGUGAACACGCCACCGCCGCAAAGGAUGACGAACAUUAGACGUUAGCGUAAAAAUAAAUAUGCUCAGCAUGUGAAUAAUAAUUUUAUAUACAAUUAGAUAUUGUGCAAGAUACUUAUCAAUGUUAAUCUGGUUCUGAUAUCAAUUUGUAGAUCUCUACUCUAGAUAGGUAAAAUAAGAAAAAGGAAAAAUUAAGUACAUAACAAGAUUCAUGAUCAAAAUAAAAAGAAAUAACUCAUGGCGCAUCAUCGAAAAGAAAAAUUUUAAUUACUAUAAUAAAAGAAACAUAAAUAUUAAAUUAACUAACAAUAUAAUUUCGCUUCUAGAUUGUUGGAAAAAUCUUUCUGAUCUUUUACUACAAUACUCUUUAAAAACCAAAUCGGAAAUUAAAAUUCAAAUUUGGAAAAAUCCCAAAACAAAAUUAAACAAAAAUAUUGAAAAGAUAAGGUUUAGAUAAGGCCUGUGGAUCGAGGCGUGCAGAGCAUUGUCCUAGAAGCGAAAUUGCCCCUCUACGUGCGAGGCUUCCCGGCAAUUACUCCUAGCGAUACAACGACCACGUUCCACCCCGUCGGCACGCUUUCAAGGUGGCACAAAACGAACCCAACGAGCUUCAGAUCCAGCAACGAAAACUCGGCGAAAAUUAAUAGCGAGAAAGUAGAAAAAGACAAGAGGCUUUUGGUAUAACCGGGUUAUUAUUAUUCCUCCUUAACUCAUGCACCUUCGCCCCAUAUUUAUAAUCAAGGCGAGAAUCUUGUUCUAUCUCAUUAAAUCUGAGUAGAACAAGAUAAGCCUAAGAUUAUACCUAAAAGGAUUAGGAUUAGGAUAAAUAUAAAGAUAAGAAUAAAACUCAAAGAAUAAAUCACAACAAACCCAAUAAAGAAAUCCAAUCAAAUAGUUUUAAUAAGUUUUAAAUCAUAACAAACUCAAUAAAAUCCAACAUUCCCCCACAUGAUUUAAAACUUGAAAUAAAGAAAACAAAUAAACAGAAAUUCAAAAUAAUUCAAAAGAAUGCUGGAUCUUUUAUACCACGUAUUCGGUAAAGGUACCUUUCGGGUUUGAACCUUUACUUAGCGCUUGUCAAUGUACAUCCGAGGGCACAAUGGUGGACUUCGCCUUGAACCAAGGCCGGUGAAUCGGAUUUCCAUAAACAGCACACAUGGUACAGCUGUUUAGGUUCUAAGCGGGUGAGCACUAUUACGGCCAUGCGCUAGUAUCGCUUCGUGUAUGUUUUAGAAAAUCGCCCUUUUUUCAUAGUCGCGGCCUCACGACUCCACACAUAUAGUAGGCCCUCAAAGGGUAUCUGCAAGGUCAUACCCUGCCUUAUAGGUCUCGAAGCCAUUCAGAGCCAACGCCCUUCCUAUCCGCUUGCAUAUAUGAGCACUGUCGCCAUAGGGAUGAGGAUAUAAAAGUAGUGCUCCUCACAGUUACCUGUUCGACUUGUUUCUACCCAUUGAACCUGCAACAGGUUGGGUUGCCGUCACCGGUAACUUCUAUUGUGGGCUCAGCCCCAUCCCCCUCGACGAUUCUAGGAUCACUAUCCUAGAUAAUCCCUUUGUAAGCUAAUCAGCUAUACUCAUUGUAGAUUUCACAAAUUCCAAUCCAAUCGCAUUUUCCUUCAAAUUCUGCCGUCCAUAAUACUUCAAAAAUUAUUUAGUUGAUUUUCAAGAAAUAACCACUCCUUGUAGAAGAAAAAUAAAUCCAGUAGUCAAUUUUAUAUCAGCAAUAUUACUUAUCCAAUUUCCUUCCAAUACCGCAGGAAAACCAGUAUAAUGUAAUUCAUAAGAUACAGUCCCCUUCAGAUAUCUCAAGACUCUUUUUAAGACAUUUCAAUACUCUCUGUUUGGAUUACGGAUAUANUUCAGAUCCAGCAACGAAAACUCGGCGAAAAUUAAUAGCGAGAAAGUAGAAAAAGACAAGAGGCUUUUGGUAUAACCGGGUUAUUAUUAUUCCUCCUUAACUCAUGCACCUUCGCCCCAUAUUUAUAAUCAAGGCGAGAAUCUUGUUCUAUCUCAUUAAAUCUGAGUAGAACAAGAUAAGCCUAAGAUUAUACCUAAAGGAAUUAGGAUUAGGAUAAAUAUAAAGAUAAGAAUAAAACUCAAAGAAUAAAUCACAACAAACCCAAUAAAGAAAUCCAAUCAAAUAGUUUUAAUAAGUUUUAAAUCAUAACAAACUCAAUAAAAUCCAACAGAAGGUACGCAUUCAUUAGUAUGGAUCUAAUCACGCCCUAGUAAUAGAUUGUAAUGGCUACUGGCGUCCACUACGAAGAAAGUUGUUCGAAGGGUUUUGGAUCCAACUGUCAGCUUGGUGGUAAGUACACCUCUGGCCGGUUGACCCCUUCCAGCGAAGUCGGUCAUGGUUGUGCCAAUGGGCUUGAGCUCUUCUUCGCUCUUACCCAGUUUCUUGAAGAAUGACGUGGGCAUGACAUUGACCAUGGCCCUGCCAUCUAUUAUGACUCAGCCCACAGACUGUUCUUCUAUUGAUGCCUUGAUAUAUAGAGAGCGGAUAAAUCUAGUUUGCAAGGCCGAUAGCUUCUCGAAUACUACCGCAUCGGCUGUCUUGAAAUCUUGGAGUUGGAGCUAGGCUACUGCCAACUCCUCUCUAUAAUAAGGUUGUUCUUUAACCUCCGCUGACUCUACUUUAAAUUAGCAUGGCAAAGUAUACACCAUACUCACGUCAGUUGAGCUUCCUUUGGUUGCCUCUUCCUGAACUUUCUAUUUCUUUUCCUCGGACUCUCUAACUGCUUCGGCCGAAGAGUCGUUCUCUGGCCGAACUUUCCUUUCUUUAGGAGGCCAUCUAUCUCGCUUAAUAAUAGUUUCCAGAGAAGCAAUUUUCUCCCCUGACUCUUUUCGUGUGACCUUCUUUGUCGGCUCUACCGAAGCCGACUGCUCAAUUUUAACUUUAACCACAAUACGGGAUUAGAACCGCUUGCUUCAUUGUCAUUUUUUAUGGACCGAUAAGGCGGAUGCUGCUCAAGCCGCCUCCAUAUGUUCGGCCUCAUUCCUUUUGCUUCUUUCCAAUGAUUUCUCACUUCGGCUUGCAUUUUUUGCUGUUGCCAUUUUUGCGUCAUUGUUAACAUCGGUCCAUGCCACUUGGUCGGUGCUAUUACUGUGUGCCAUUGGUCGAUGGGCACGUUGGUUGGUACCUUUAUUGUCCUGAGGUGUUCCUUCAAGAUUUCUCUUCUUUCCCAAGGUCUCGGCCAUGGCUGAAUGCCGAUUUCAUUCACCAAUCUUCGACUGAGAAACUCUAUAUCCCUCUCGAUCAUUUCUUCAAACUCUGGUAUGGGUCUCAGCCUAGGCUGUUGAUGCCAUGUAGGCUGAUAUCUCGGGUGUCUCUACUGAGUACCAAAGGGCCUUUUCGGAUAAUCCCCUCGGUUCGUCUUUUCUUUGGUUUGAUGGUAGUAAUCGUCCAAGACUUUUCGAAUCAGAAGAUCCCUUUUGUCUCUUUUGGAUUCUACCUCCUCCUAGGGGUGGAACUGGGCCCGGGCCUAAACAAGGCCCGGCCCGAUGGGCCAUGUUUGGACCGGGCUUUGGGUAUUAAAAAUAUAACUUUGGGUUCGGGACGGGCUUAAAAAUUUAGGCCCGAAGAAAUUUUGGGCCUAUUUGGGCAUGUCCAAGCCAGGCCCGAGCCCGACCCAAAAGCCCGACAUAUUAAUUAUCAAAAUAAAAUAUUUAAUUAUAUAUAUUAUUUAUCUAUAAAAGAAAUAAAUAAUAUCGUAUAUCAUAUAUAGUAUAUAUUAUUAUUAAUGAUAUAUACUUAUAUAUAUGAGGAUAUAUUAUAUAUUAACAAAAUAUUUAGUUCCAUAUUAUAAUAUAUUUGAUAUUAGAUAUUAAUUUAUUUAAUGUGAUCAAACUAAAAAUACGCAUUUUAUUUUAAUUUUAUACAAAUAAAAGUAUUUAUGUAUUAUAUGAUAAAUGCAUAAAAUGGGCCUCCACAAAGCCCGAUGGGUAUUGGGCAUUGGGCUUGGGCUUGGGCUGGGCCUUAAUUUUCAAAAAAAAAUAGGUAAAAGUCCGACCCGAAGCCCAACAUUUUCUUUUGGGCCGGGCUUGGGCAUAGUAUUAUCCGACCCAAACCCGGCCCAGUUCCACCCCUACCUCCUCCUCAGACUUGUUCGAGGCCUCCUCCGAACCUUCGUCUUGAUUACGCUCGGUCUCUGGUAAAUCUUUCUAUUCUUCGGGGAAAGCCAUGAAAUCUUUCCAUUCCCCGUACAGCUUUUUUCCUGAAUAAUUGCUUCCUAAUCACGACGGGUCAUUUUGGUCUUGCAUUGGAUGCAAAGCCAAAGUGCUCUCUUUGUGCCGGCAAUAUCCUCCUCGAUCCUUCCUUCAAGUGGUGCCUUCCCUUUGAUAUCCACCAUGUUGAUAUGAGAAGGAAAUGAGUUUUGGUCAACUUUCAUAUCCUUUUUAUUUUCUUGGUCGGCAGAUACUAGCCGACCUUCAAUUAUUUCUUUAUGUAUUUGCCUUUUAAAGGUCGUGCAUUCAUUCGUUCUAUGGCUCCAUGAGUGGUGCCACUUGCAGUAUUUUCUCCUUCUUAAUUUCUCUCCGGAAGGUAUUGUUUGAUCUUCUUGGAGUUUAAUUCUGCAAUUUUUUAACAACCGAUCAAAUAUCAGAUCGUUUUUUGCAACAUCAAACGAAUAAGUAUAUGCCAUGACUCACGCUUUGGCUUCGCUAGCUUUUGCUGAUUUCAGCAGCGCACACUUAUAAGGCUAACCAAAUCUUCUGCAUGUACCUCGGUUUCAUUAACCGAAUCUUCUAUUUCGCUUGAGGUAUUCAGCUCAGCUUGAGCCGAAGUUUCUUAAACGAAAAAAAUAUUCUUCUCUUUCCCUUUGUUCCAUUCCCUAUUUUGGCUCCAUUAUGGAUGAUCAUCAUUGUUUCCUUUCCUGAAUUGUUCGUAUUGGGCAACACGAACACUUAAUCGAACAGGUUUGGAAAGUACUUGUUUUUAAAAUGGUCUUUUAUUUUGAAAUGCAAAUCAUUAAAUGCCAUCUUGGCGAAUUCAAACUCCGGCAUUUUCAUAAAACAUCGACUCCUGGCCGUCUUGAAUCGGUUUAAAUAUUGUUCAACCGAUUCACCUGGUUUUUGUUGGUAUUGAGCCAAAUCGGCUAUCGAUAACUCCGGUUUCGACCUAUAGAAUUGCUCAGAAAAUUUUCUUUCCAAUUCGUCUCAUUCUCGGACAGAAUUGGCUAGCAAACUUAUAUACCAAGUAAACGCCGUCUUGGUCAGCGACGUAUUAGACAAUCGGAGUUUUAGAAAUGGAAGGCCCAUUAUGGGCAAGUCCCAUCCCCCUCGAUGACUCCAUGACCUUAGUCCUAUUCAGGCCGUUCGUCAAAUAAUCUGCAAAGUUCUGUUCAGAUCUGAUAAAAUCAAAUAAGUAAUAUUAUGAAAAUAACCAUCUAAUAAAUUUAUGUCCCAAAAUAAUUUACCUCCCAAUCUUAGAAUUUGCAAAAUUCAUUUCCAAGAUGAACACUAUGAUAAAAUCACGAGAGCAAUUAUAAUAUCAAAAUUUAUCAAACUGAUAAAGGCGCUCCCCCCACAAUUUCAGAGAUAUACUAAAAUUUAAAAAUCAUGAAAUUUAAUCAUGUUGAAUAGAGUUUGAUUCAACAGCAAAAGAAGGACCAAACAAUUUUUUAAAACAAAAUUGAUUUCAAUUAGGUAAUUUCGAGCAAAUAACAUAUGCAAUCAAAUAAUAUCUAUGCAGCAAAUAGAUUUUAAAAAUUGCUGAAAUAAUAGGAAAAAUAAAAUUUAGAAAUAGUGUUGCAGGUUAGAUACCGUGAAAUCAAAUCUCCCUUGGAACAAAAUAUUUUUCCUUCACCUUUUUUUUUCCGAAAGUUAGUAUAUCUAUAUCUCUAAAAUUAAGUUUUAAUAUAUCAUUAAAAAUAAGUUUUAAUAAAUCUCAACAGUGGAAAAGAAAGUACUGUAGCAAUUUUUUUUAAAAAAAAUUACUGUGGCAAAUAUUUUAAACCGUACACUAUAAAAAAAAUAAUUUUACAGUAGCUUUUUUUUAAAAAAAAAACAAAUUUAAAACACCCUAAAGCAAAUAAGAGAAUAUAAUAAUUGAUAAUUAAACUGUAUGCAAUUAGCAAGUAAAUUAUAUGCAAUUGAAUUUGAAAAUACUAAUUCUAAUUUAUUUAAAUUAGAAUGACAAACAUAUAAUCAAAUUUGUCAAACAAAAAUAAUACGCAAUAUCUUUCUAUUUUAAGCGAAAUAAUAAUUAAACCACAUACAUGAGUGUGCUAGUCUCCAACAGCAGUGUAGCGCAAGGGCGACAUGAUAAAAUCCCAGUAACAAGCUAUCAUGGAUGGACACUCCUCCACAAAAAUUAAUUUAAUAUCGAGAUUGGCACGUAGCCCAUAUAUAUCAGAUAUUAAACUAAUAAGAACAGAUAUUACACUUCUCUGAAAAUUAUAAAUUUAAUUAGAACUCUGAAUUAAUUGAACAAUUAGAUUUGAUUCAGCAGACCAAAUGCGGCAGAUGUGAACUUUGUUAAAUAGUGCACAAAAUUACAAGCCAUUAAAUUCUAACUUUUUUUUUAAAGAGCUUUUACUGUAGCAACAACUCAAAAACCAUACACAGUAAAGAUUAAUUUCACUGUAGCAAAAAAAUAUUAUUAUUAUUAUUAUUUUUUUAAAAUAUAGACAAACAGUGAAAACUAUAUAUAAUCCAUAAUGUCCGUACCUCUUUUUUCCCAAAAGAGCUACAGUAAAGGCAAUUUUUUUUUUUAAAAAAAUACUCAUCAAAUAAAAUGUAAUUUAAACAAGAAAUUACAAAAUAUGCAAUUAUAGGUUAAAGUGCUAAUCCCAAAAAAAAUUAUAUUUAAAUGCCAACAAACAAAUUAACAAACAAAUUAUAUACGUAUAAAAUUAAUUUAAUACGGAUUAACAUCCGUUAGAUUUUAACCACAAUCAAAUUGAAAACACGCCUUAGAUUGUUAGAACAAAUACCGCAACGAAAAUCUGAUUGUGAUUAAUAUCUAACUAAUUUUGUAAUAAGAAUAAAAUCAAACUUACAGAUAAACGCAAAUAUCCAAAUAAUGAUUUGAUCUUAUCCGGAAGCGUGCGAGGCACUGCCCUAAGGCGUAUUUCCGUCCUUACGUGCGGGAUUAACCGGAAAUAACACCCCAAGGUACGACCGGAAUUCCUCCUCCUGCGAGCACGAUCGUGAAGGAGGUUGGCGGAGAUUCUUUCAACACCCAGGAAUAUUCAAAUAGUAAAAGAUAAAAGAUGAAUAGAUAAGAAUUAACAAAUUAUCUAAAUCUCAUUCUCUACUACUCUGUCUGAAACAGAGGAGAAGAAAGGAAGGAAAUUUAACGCUCUUUCUCGUUACGAGAAAAAGACGUAUUCCACGCAACGGAAGGGGAUUCCGUUUGGCGUAAGAAACGGAACGGAAAAAUAUUCCGUUAGUUUCUUACGCAUUAAGAAAGAGAAUAAAAAUAAAUAAAUAAAUAAAAUUAAAUAAGUAAAUAAUAAAAUAAUAAAUAAUGAUAAAUAAUAAAUAAAUAAUUUAAAAUUCAAAUAGAAUAAGAUUCAAAUUUUAAAAUUUUGAGUUUUUUUAACUAACAGAAAGAAUAUAUAUGUGCUGGUCACUUGACAAACCUUGAUAUCCCUUACUUUUGUUGGAAGCUUGGUGACGCUGCUUAAGUCCAUUUACUUUUUCUCUGGAGCAUAUUUGAUAUUAGUACACUUCAAUCUUGGAGUUGAAGUAAAAGUGAUUGUUGCCUAUUUCAACCCUUUAAUCGAAUGUGGAAGCCCAAUUUCACGCUGAAUUAAAUGAGUGAGAGUCAUCCAAUUCCUUCUUUUGAAUCCAAUAUAGAAGCUUGGGAGUAGAGUUAGAAUAUUUUCAAUAGGGAUAAUUGUCUAUAUACCCCUCAAAACUUCAAAAAUAUCUCAUUUAUCCCUAUUUUUUUUUUCUUUCUAAUAUAUUCCCCAUAGGUUCCUCCGUUAUUCCAAAAUACACCUGCAGUUAUCACCCGUUAAGUUAACUUGGGUUAAACGUGAGUUAAAUAUCUACAACAGUUAAAAAAAUUAAAAUACCACUUUUGCCCUUAACUUAAGGGUAAAUAAGAAAUGUUGAUGAUGGUAGGAAGGUAUAUUUGAAAAGACCUAAAAUACUUUUUGUGUCUCUAACUUAAAGGGCAAAUAAGAAAAGUCAGUGAUGGUAGAAGGGUAUAUUUAACAGGACAAAGUAGUAAUUUUAUAGAGAUAAUAGAGUUCAUUAACAGAUUUUAACUCUAGAGGUAUAUUUAAAAUAGGUUGGAACGUAAAAAGGGUAUUUUCAAUAUUAACCUUCUAAGAGGGUAAAUCAGAAAAUCGGAAAUUUUUCAGAAGUAUAUAAGCAAUUGCCCCUUUUCAAUAAUAGCAUAUUCGAAGCGACAACUAAUAUCAUUAGAUUUAACAUAGGCUAUUUGAACUUUCUAGAAUUGAAUUUCAAUAAUUUUCGACAUUACUUAUCUAAUAUUUUAAAAUGUCUUAAAUUUAAAAACUUUUAGCGUCUAAUAUAAAGUGAAUUUCAGAGAUCUUUAGAUAAAUGAUGUCGUAAAAUUUUCAAACUUAAUUCCUAUAGAAGAUCGAAGUAGCUUAGCGUGUGUUUUGUUGUGCCUAUAGCUAAUUCUAAUGAUCCACCGUCCAAAAUUUCGUGAAAGUAAACAGUUUUACUAAAUGCAAAUUUCGCAAAGUAAAUAGUUCGAUUUAAUGCAGAGCCAAGUGUCGUUUCAAGGAAAAAUUCUAGAAGACACCGGGUAUAUUGGUGAUGUGGCGUCACAAACCAAUCAAAUAACUCCUUUUAAAAAUAUAUGUCCCAUCAUGAUUGUAAAAAAAUAAUUUUAUUGUACUUUUGUUCGAAAAAGAGAUAUAUGAUUAGCUUGUUAUUGAUGACGUGGUGCAAGCGUGACAGUGUAGAACUUCUCCGUUCCAAGGUGGAAUAUCCGUCGUUCACUGCAACUUUUAUUCUGUAGUACAUCAAUCAAACAUGAUGAAUUGCUGAUCCCUAAUUCUAAAAUUCUAACUCGUUUUAAAUUCGUUUCUAGUUUAGAAUGCAACCAAGUACAUAAACAUGUCCCUACUGCACUUCACUGUAAGUUAGUUCACCAACAAAAAGAUGGACAUUUGUACCAUCACACCAACCACCUUAAUAUAUGAUAUAAAUUUUUGUUAAUUAUUUUUGGUGAAAUUGUGUAGAGCUAAUCUAAAUUUUGGGUCAUUUGAAGGACCAUCCAUUUUUUAAAAACUUUAAAUUUACUAACUGGCCUUUCAAAUAGGAUGAUUUGUCUCUUAAAAGAUAAAUGAAUGCACUGGGUGCAUGCAAAUAUUUAUACAUCACACCUUCAUUUUUUUUUUUUAAUACAUCCCAUGUUGUUAAUUAAAUUACUUAAUUCUUAGCUAAAAAGAACUAUAACUCAUUGUAUGGUAAGAGUUAACAAUAGAACGAAAUCAAUGACCGAGAAAAGUGCUUACAAAUUAAUGAAUCAAGCAAUAGUCUUUCAAAACUAGUAAACAAUUAAAAUCAAACAAAAUGAAAGAUUACGUAGUAAAAUCAAAAUUUACAAGCUUAGGUGGUUGUUUCCAUGUGACCUAAAGUUUAGAUUAGUUACAUUUUUGUAGUUUUCUGUUAAAAAAUAACUUUUAACUAGCCUUGGAGAACAGUUUGCAUCCCAAUUAAGCAUUUAAGCUAGCCUAUACCAAACUGCAACUGAUUCUGAGAGGUUAAGAGGCUGUUUGGCUCCAUAAAAAACUGUGAAAAAAACUUUCAGAGGAAAACAAAUUUUAUGUUCUGUAAUAUUUAGUUUGUAGAAAAAGAAAAAUAAUUUUCCGUCACGAUUGUUUGGUUAGAAGGAAAAAAAAGAACAAGAUAAAUAGAAAACUAUUAUAUAUAUUUUCUCCUAUUAUAUAUAUAUAUAUAUAUAUAUUAUAUUAUUGAUAUAUAAUAAUUAUCAUACUACAUAUAUUAUUACUAUAGUUUACAUUUAUAAAUAAAAUAUAUUUAAAAUAUAUUAUGCAAUAAAUAUGCAAUAUAAUAUAUAAUAGUAUUAGUAUAUAUUUAUACUAUUAUAAAAAAAUACUAUAUAUUUAUAAAUAAAAUAUUAUAUAAUAGCAUAUUUAUAUAAAAAUAAAAUAUUAUCUCUCUCAUAUAGGUGAAGUGGACCUCGUAGACUGCGUAUUCCACCCUUGCCUCAAGAGAGGCAUGCCCCCCAUAACUAUUAAUAUGCCAAACGUGCAUAUCAUAGUUUAUGCUUAUCUCCCAUAACUAUGAAAUUAUUCAUCGUCGUGGACAUGCAUAAAAUUUAAUUGUUUGAUCUUGCGGUGGCCGCAUGCUCUGGCCACAAGUUUAAUUGCUAUGUGAAACGUUGUCACGCCUCGGGGUCCCUUUUAGUUUAAAACAUAGCGAAAAAGCGUCUGAUUUUUUUUUUUUUUUUUUUUGAAAAGCCUGACCCCAAAGUAUGCCAGAUCCGCCACAAACACAGGGAAUCCACUGUUCACACGGACAGAGUCUCCCCUGUAUUUGCACGGCAUCGCACAAGUAAAAGAAGUCACCCAGGCACAACCAUAACAAAUGAACAUACAAAUGACCAACAGAUAUAUAUUUAUACACCAUUCACCACAGAUUCAUAUUUAUACAUUCAAUAUUUAAACAUCAAUCCACAUCUAUCAGUUAAAAUGUUUCCAACCACAGAAACAGGUUUUGAAAUACUAAGAUGCAAAAUCCACAGAAAAUCUUUUGAAAACUGUUCCCAACACAGGAACUUUUAUCUUUUUAAAACGCUACCACGAGGGGUAGAAAACCUUUUAUUUUACAAAAUUCACAAACCAGUUUAUUACAUUCAUGAAAACCCAUAUUUUCAAAUGUAAUAAAAAAUACUGAACCAUAUAAACACUCUAAGCUAUAUAUCAACAGAAAUAAAAAGGAUAAGAGCUAAAUCGAACAACCUGGGUCGGAAGAUCUAUCAACCGCUACGUACGUGUCUCGCGUCUCGUCCCAAUACACAUCGCCUGCGGUACCUGAAAAAUGGUGGGGGAGGUGAGAACAUGUAAACAUAUCUCCCCUCCCAGUGGGUACCGCAAGCCGAAGAAGGCGAGGAGUACUCACCGGAUCAGGAAGAGCUAUACAACAAUACGGGUCAGUGGAAAUACAGUAGGAACAAAAGAGAUGUAUAAGAUAAUGAGCAGAUAUACUAAAUACAGUAGCAAUAAACUGAAAGAAAGUAAGAACUAGACUAAAUAACGGCUACCGCUACUGUAACUGGAACCAAAAGCAUACAUGAAUAUCUACUAUAGCAGCAAGACAACUAUAAAGUAAGAACUGUAAGUAUGCAUGCAACGACUGCUACUAUAGACAUAUGCGUCAACCGGUCAAGAAGUCCAAAAGUACCCAAUCUGAAACCAAUGCUCUCUUGGUCAGCACCGCAGACCUCAAGCCAGUGCCACUACUACUCUCCAGUGCAUAUAACCCCUCUAGGGCUCACGGGUUGUCACCAUUCAACCACUUUUCCGGAAAAGAACACUCCUUGCGGUGGAUCAGACCGCCAGUGUUCGUGAAAUGCGACGAGUAUCGGGCGAUCAAUGCAAUAUGCUCAAUAAUCAACCGUCGGCAACCAGCCGACAAUCCUGCCCCCCAGGGCCCAUCGACCGCAUAGAUCGUCAACUGUAAAGAAGCACAAGAACCGACCACUCGGGUCAACUAGGAUGGGACAACACCGACAUCCUCUCAAACAUAUGCAAAUACUGCUCAAUGAACCACAAGGACUGACAAUUCAGAUCAACUAGGAUAUGAAACUCGACCAAUCAUGUCACAAGUAUCGGAUAUGAAACUCGACCAAUCAUGUCACAAGUAUAGGAUAUGAUGCACUGACCGACUAGGUCACAAACAUGUCAAAUAGUGAAUAUGAGUAAAGUAUAAUCAUCCGUCGGCAACUAACCGACAAUCCCACCCCUCAGGGUAUACCGACCUUAACGGUCAUCAGACAACAAAGGUUGAGGAACUCACCGAAUAGGUCACAAAUACUGAAUACUAGAAUCGACCGACUAGAUCGCUGAUCUCAUAGAUAAUCACGAAAUCGCUCUACUAUAAACACGAAUCAGGGUAUGCAGAAUAGCUAAGUAGAGCAACAAGGAAACAUGGUAUCACAUACAGAUAGACUAUACUCCUACACAUGAUACUAAGCAUGGAAACGUCUGAGUAGAGUAUAAUCAAACAACGUAGGUGUAAUGUAAACGAUAGAGGUGCAAAGCUCAACAUAUAAUAUAUGCAUGGAUAAUAACAAAAGAGAAAGGGUAAGAAACCAUCACCGAGCGUGCACCACUGUACCAACGUCGGAUCGAAGUACCCACCUGUACAACUGUCGCGCCUGUCUCCUGACUGCGAAAGGAUGUCAACCUGACCUACGGAAGGUCCACCGAGUUAGUGACUAACCCACAAGUAAUAACCAUUAAAUCAUAAUCCCGCAAACAAACCCACGGAGAUCGGUUUUCUGAAACCGAUUACCGUGACUCGUCGGAAGUCUCGAAAAUCACAUCGGGAUUCCGUCGGGACUCAGGAACUAUCCCGGAACGCACCGACUCGUGCUACGAGUCAUCCGCUGCCACUAAAUAUCAAUAAUCAUACGUCAUGGCAGCAACCACAGCUCCUCACGUCGAAACAAUUAUCGUCGGAUAAUCGUUUCAAUCCAGGUUCCCGAAAGUGUCUAAUUCGACACCGGAACCCACCGUCGCUCACCCGUCAUUUUCGAACCCUUGAAAUGACGUGAGUGACCAGCCAACAAGGCUCAACGACUAAACAAUCAAUCACGAAGCACCAUCGGAAUAAUUUCGAACCGAACCCGCGUUUCGUCGAUUGAUUUCGCCGAGAAACGAGCCAGAAAUCGCUUUCUGAUUCCCACAAAGGCUUGAGGCCUUGGAAGAUCAGUCCAGAGGCUAUCCUCAGCCCAUACUUGCUGCCAACAGCAGCCACGAUGAACAAAGUUGCAUAAAAGCCCAUCCGAAUACCCGAAAUCGCAUUAUUUCAUGCGAUUUCGGCGCUUUGAUGGUCCGUCUGCACAAACCAGAAGUGAAUCAGCGAAGCCGAGAUACCCGCUGACAGGUAUCGGCGUGCCGGAGGCCGUGCUCACCUUUCAGAGCAAUUUUGGCCACUGUGGGACGCGCACGAGCGACACGAAGUUCAACGAAACAUCGCACACUGAAACUAAAACACAUGUAACUAACUCAUCCGGAGCUCUCUUACCCUAAGUGAGGUGAGCAUUGUGAUAAAAAAUGACUGACGAUCACCGUGCUCACCUCCGGGGGCAUCGGAACAGCCUUGGGUCGCCGGAACAGUGAUCUAAACAGGAGACUAUGCGCAGAAAGGUUGAAAUCAAGCUUACCGGACAGGGGAGAGCUAGGGCUGCCCGGCGGUGGCCGGACGGCGGGAGCGCCGGUGGCAGGAGGGUUCAGGCAAUGCAGGGAGGCCAAGGUAUGCAUCGGCCGGCGUCGGGAGGCGGCGGCGACGGCAGGCAUUGAUGCCCUAGUCACCCAAAACCGAGGAGGGCACAAGCCGACAGGAAGCUCCGGCGGCGGGGGCGCCGGCGGCGGACGAGUGCGGCCGGCCAGGCGGAGCUGGUGCUCACGCCGGACGGCAGCGGAAGACGGCGGCGGCGAUGCUGGACCAAACCGAGCCCGGGCGGGUUCACCACGGGCUCCAAAGGUAGCGGCGACCAUGGCGGCGGCCAGAGGAAGGUCGGGGCGACGGCAGCACGCCGCCGGAGGUCGAGGAAGGUCGGCGCCCCAUGCUUCGGGUGGCGGCGACGCGCGGUGGUCGAGAAGACCAGGCCUCGGCCCGUUCAAGGUUUGGGCGGCCGCGGAGAGGGAGAGCGGCGGCCGGCGGUGUCGGGAGCGGCGGCGAUGGCGCGCGGGGGCACGCCGGAGGUCACCGGAGGGCGGCACGACCGAUGGGGAACGGCGGUGGCGCGCGGAGGCAGGGAUCACCCAGGCUCGACCUGGGUGACUGCUGCUGGCCGCAGGGAGUUCGGGCAGCUCCGGCGUGGCGCGGAGACGGCGGAGGCCGGCGGGGACUGCGCCGGGAAAGGGUCUCGGCCGAGGGAAAGGCUUCCUAGGGUGUCUUGGACCUUCUCUGAUGUCGAAGGCUGAGGGGGGUGAAGGUGGUGAUGGAGAUGAUGGAGGAGAAGGAGGUGGAGCUUUUCCGGCGGCCGGUGUUGCUCGCCGGCGGCAGAGGUGCACGCAUGGCAAGGGCAUAGAGGUGCUGAUGACGGUUAGGGUUCACUGGGGGUGCAAGUCGGCUAGAUCUAGGGUUUCAUGCUAAGAAAUCCUAGUGCAACAUUAUAUACAACCUGCAACUUUGUAGAGAAGUCCCCCAAAGAUAAUUGUUAUCAUCUGAGUCCCUGACAGUGGAUGUGUUUUGCAUGUACGCACCUCCAUGCUCGAUCUCACGUGCUUCGGUACAUAAAAUAUUACGACUUUUGUGAAUUUCCCGAUUUCCACUCUCGACCCCUUAGCGAACUUCAUGCAAUAUCCGACAAUCCGUUCAUCGGAUUUCCGAACGGAUUGCACCAUCGCGUUCAGCACGACGAGGGCAUCAAAACUACCAUCUUGUUUCGUCAGAUUUGGUCACGGAUUCGCGACGAAACCCAUCCGCUCUCUAAUUCCGUAUAUCUCACAUAUACCAAAGUAUAAACCCUAAAACCUUUAAUUCAAAUUCAAAUUUGAAUUCCCUACCACUAGUAGGUACCAGAAACAACUCUCACCUAACCCCAGGUCACAAGCACAGAGCACGAGGAGUCUUAAAAAUGCACGCAUAGCAAAGAGCGGAAACCCUCUUUUUGUUAAAACUCCUUUUUCUCGAAAACCGUGCAUCGGAUCUAAAAUUCGUCAGUGCCAUUGGUUCCAGAAUGGCUGAACCGGUCGAAACGAGCUAUUGGAUUGCUAUGAACGGAGUCCGAUACGCGCCGAAAGUGAACUCUACUCCGUGGCUUCACCGAAAAACCGGGUUAAUAUUCACUUUAAGUGAAAACUAAUAAUUGCGUAACUUCUCCAUUCUAGCUCAUUUUCUUCUGAAACUUGACGAGUGCUUAUGUAAUUAAAUUACACACAUAAAUAUCGUCAACAGAGAGUUUAUUUGCACUGUCAAAAUCUCAGUCCUUACAUUAUCCCCCCCUUAAAAGAAGUUUCGUCCCCGAAACUUGACCACAUACCCACCGAAAUCGAAUUCAGAUAUUACUUCCACCACUAUGGUCUCACCUUUGAGUAUUGGUCAAUUACAUUUUCAUGAAUUUGGACAGAUCAAUCUUCGAAUAAGGGGAAAAAUAGGACUGCGGUUCCACCUGGACGAAUCGAGGGAAAACGUACCAACCCAAAAUCUACGGACCAAAACUCACCGGGAUAACAUCAUCCUAUAACCUGCGGACAAAGACAGUCCCGCAACUAGGAUUAUCCGAUCCCAAUUUGCCAAUUCUGAGAUAAUUAAUCAACAUUCAGAAAUUUAGGUCCAUUCUACCUUGGUCCGCAUUGCCGUAACCGACUCGACUAUGUCACAAGUUCACGUAGAAAAGUCACGAGACAACCAUUUUAAUCUAGAGUCUAAUUACGUAGACUGAAACGAAAAACUCCAACAACGUCAACCUGCUCACCAUGAGCGAAUAAGAAACUUUGUUCUAAGACCUGAGUCAAAACUCUCACCUUGGAGACCACAGUGUCCUUCCAGUAACUACACAAACUACCAAAACCUCCAUCAAUGGAUAGUCACUUACGACAAUCUAUAGUCCUAGGUCCAAGACCUCACUUUUCACCUGACCAAAAGGUCCAAACUGACAAUAACGACUGAGCUAGAUAAUUUGUCUCCUCAAACCUAAUACGGUACCAACAGACCACCAAAAGUUCCUUGCAAGUUCAUCGCUUGAUGCACAUGUCGCCAAUCGCACAUACGAUAAUAACCAUCGGUGAUGCUCAACACCUGUCUCUACGAGACCCUGUCGCUGCCGUUAUACAAGGGACCCUAGCGAUCGAUGUUCCCAGCAACACCCAAUUACUUGUCUCAUUGAGACCCAAGCGCACCUGUCACCAAUUUGACUGGACAAGCAUACCAUUUCAAGGUUUGCAUGUUAAGUCAAGUCGCAAACCUUUUACGCUAUCACAUAUGGUGACAAUCAAAGCCAACAACCAGGCUCAAGUCACUCCACAAUUGUGAUUCCGAACCUCUCGACAAUAGAUCGAGACUAUUAACCAAACAAACCUUUUAGUUGUAACAAGUACGACUAAAGAGCUAACAAGCACCCAAACUCGAACCUACAUCCGAACCAUCAGCAGUGACGAUAAGUCAACUGCGCAAAACCUACCAGGAAAUAAUCCAAGACUCGCUAUAAGGACAAAGAUGACCAUCACUCAAGCGUUCUCAUAAACAAAUAGAGAAAACACCGACCCAAUUCAAAAGUCCCAAACGGGAAGAUAGUAUUUCGUCCUUCUUUCGACAGUAUAUUGUCUGCAGCCAAUAUACUUAUCAAAAGAAAAGUGAAAUAUCCGAAGAUCCACUACCAACAACGAGUUGGAAGUGUGACAUAUCGAAGUAUCAAGCCACCUGAUACCUCUUCACGGAACCACGAGUUCACAACCAAUACUGUCGAACCAUCAACUUUCAAUCGACAUUCGAAAUCGAACGACCCUAAGACGACUCACAGGAGUCGUUUAACUAUCAACAUGCCGAAUGGUCUUGCGAGACUAGCGCCAACUACACAAACUCGAGGCUAUUGGAAAUGGUUUUUAACGUUUUCGCACACAACCGAGCUUUGUGUGGUCUCUGCGUGCUCGGCUCGUGUGGUGAGUGCGAUUUUUGAAGCAGUUCAUCCAAGUGUCUGCGAGUAUGGCUUUCCGCGCCCCAAAGUAGGGUAACUGUGAGACUGGGCUUCUAACAUAGACAGUCUGACGCAACGACACAGCCUAAUGUUUUUUGCGUGUAUAGUGAUUGGACGCAUCGAAUAUGGAUGCAUGCGCGCUACGAACUGACCCAAACUGUUGUCAUUCCACUCUUUAGGAAGAUAUGAACGAGGUAGGUCAAAGAUCCGAACGCUCCUCGAUUUCACAGGCACAUCAAGGAAGAGAGUAAGCAUAAUAACCGUCAGAAUCUGGGAAGCAACACUAACAAUGCCAGUCCCGAAUACGACUGCCCUAUCCAAACCUCUGGGCUAUACGCCAUUAGUAGGCUUCCCAUGAAGUCACGUCGUAAUCUUGAUUCACAGUGCUUUCGGUCUAACGAAGACACCGCAAACAGCUCUCGUGUCUCAAGUAGAGAGAGGGCCUGGCGUCACGCAGUAUGACAUCCGCUAGCCGAAGAACACUGCGCUUGUCAAGGCUCCACUUCGACAGGAUGUGGCAAACCUUGGAACGUUCGCACCAUCAAUGUUUGUUUGGUUCAUUGAGGCAGUAUUGCCAUAUGUUUGAGGAUGUCGAUGUUGUUCCCAUCUAGUUGACCCGAGUGGUCUGUUUUGUGUUCUUUCAGUUGACGACUUAUGCGCGUGAUGGGCCUGGGGCGGCGAAUUGUCUGCUGGUUGCCGACGGUUGAGCAUUGAGCAUAUUGCAUUGUGAUCGGCCGCAUACUCGUCGCACUUUCACGAACAUGGCGGUCUUGAUCCCACCGCAAGGAGUGGGUUUUUCCGAAGUGAUUGAAGCGGUGCAACCCGGAGCCCUAGAGAGGUUAUAUGCCUGGAGAGUAGUGUACUAGGCUUGAGGUCUGCGGUGCUGACAAGAGAGCAUUGGUUUCAGAUUGGGUACUUUUGGACUUCUUGACGUGUGUCGUAUAUGUCUAUAGUACAGUCGUCGCAUGCAUACUUACAGUUCUUACUUUAUAGUUGUCUUGGCUAUAUUAGAUAUUCAUGUAUGCUUUUUGGUAUCGCAGUUACAGUGCGGUAUAGCCGUUAGUUCAGUCUAGUUCUUAUUUCUUCGUCAGUUUAUUGCUACUGUAUUUAGUAAUAUCUGCUCAUUAGUCUUUUACAUCUCUUUUGUCCUACUGUAUUCCACUGACGGCCGAUUGUGUGUGUAUAGCUCUUCUGGAUCCGUAGAGUACCUUCCUUUUUCGGCUUGCCGUCCUCAGGGAGGGAGACAUGUUUACAUGUGUCUCACUCCCAGCCAUUUUUCAAGGUAUCGGCAGGCGGAUGUGUUGAUUGGGACGAGACGCGGCACGUAGUAGCGGUUGAUAGAUCUUCGACCACCAGGCUUGUUCGAAUUGGCUCUUACCCUUUUUAUUUUGUGAUUAUAGCUUCAGAGUGUUUAUAUGGUCAGUAUCUUUUUAUUUCUGUUGAUAUAUUUAACAUCAAUCCACAUUCAUCUUAAAAUGUAUUCAAACACAGAAAAUAUUUUGAAAUCUAAGAUGCAAAAUCCACACGAAAUCUUUGAAACUGAUUCUAGCUCAUUUUUUCUUGAAACUGUGACGAGUGCUUAUUAAUUUAAUAUUAACACUACAUAAACAUUCGUGCAACGGAGGUUUAUUUGCACCUGUCAAUCUCUAGUCAUACAAACGUCGAAAAAUGACGUCGAUGAGAUUAGUAUAAAUUUGUUUUGAUUCGAUUGCAGUUUAGCUAAUUAAAUUCAUCUAUUUUGCAUGUGAGUUCUAUCUCUAUAUUUGGCUCGCAUCAAGUUAAUAAUUAGAUAUGGCCGUACGCAACAUGACGAUAGUGGAAUCUAUGCCUACAUUUCCUUUGGGCCAUGAAUUUUUUAUUCAGUGAAGCGCAAUUGGACCCUACGUUAGAUUUUGAUUAAGUUGCCACGUUAACAGGUCAUGCGCAAGACUAUUUUUGUGGUGGCGUACGGACCUAUUUACUUGAUGCGUGCUAAUACAUUUUAUUAUUUGUUAAUUAAUGAUAAUUCGUAUUCAUAGAAGAUAUAUGUUUUAAUAUAUGGUGUGAAUAUAAAGAUAUUCGUCAGCCAUAAGAUUUCUCUUGCAUUAGUUUAUGUAUAUUUGGGUCAAUUACGCAAUACUCUACAUUUCAAUUGAUUGCGAUGUCAUGUUUUAAAUUAUCGCAUCUAUAUUCUUAUUUUGACGGAUGAACUGAAAUUAAAUAAUCAUAAGUGUUUUCGAUUAUUUAAUGUUUAGCGCUGAGUAAUAUUAUUUAUAUUUCGAUUGAUUAGGUGCAAAGCCAAAGCGCCUUAUUAAAAAAAAAAAAUUUAUUUACUUUAAAGUAGCGCUUCCGGAUAAUUUUCAUGUUAUAUGCAGCACUAAGUCAGAUUAAUUUAUUAGUUCAACUGUUUGUGUGCAAGCAAAGCGCCCGACGGAAGAAAAGAUAAUUAAUUGUCUUAAGAAGUUGCAUGCAGAUUGUAUUUAAUAUUAUGUUUAGUCUGCUCCGAAAGGAGGUCUAGAAUGAGGUAAUAGGGUGGUUAGGAUGGUAAUUUUCGUACUCGUUUGCGAGAAUUUGCCUGGCCAAAGCUGACAAUUUCUUCAUAUGGGAAAUUUGAAUUUAUCAUGACCUACAGAAGUUUAUAUUUAUCUCUCAUAGAGAGAUUGCAUAUUUAUGCUCAUAACUCUGCUCCAAAGGAGUGUUAUGAUGUCAUUUUAGUUAUGCAUAGAGAACGAAAAUACUUAUGCUUGUAACUCUGCUCCAAAGGAGGGUUUGUGAUGUCAUAUAAAGUGUAUUUUUUUUAAAAUUUUGGUUGGUGUAUUUUUGAUGUGGCUUUUUAUGAUUAAACAUGCAUUUUUUUUCAGCUAUGACUCCAUUUUCUUUCUAUUGGUGAAUCUGUUCUAUACUUAAUGGUUUAAUUAUUCGGAGUGGGGAAAACAAAUUAUGUUUAUUUUGGGCCUAUAUGGAUUUAGAUUUGGCUCUGUGCGAUGAACAACCGCUAAGAUAGUGGGGCCAAUAACUCCACAGCAGGAUCGCGCAGGAAAAGUGGGAGCCGAUCCAACCGCUUAUUUGAUGCUCAUAAAGUCAAGGGUAUCAGCAUAAGGGGAUCAAUCCAGAAUGUGAUAAAGCCAAGGUAAUAUCUAAGGCAUUGAGGAGCAAUUUGUCAGCUCCGAUAAAGCUUUAGCGAGCACUUAAUGAAUAAAUGUCUUCCAUGAAGUACUUCGGAAAUGCUCAAUUCGCGAGCACAUUAUGGAAUGCGAGAUAUUGCAGCGCACUCACCGCACUUGAGUAGCAUCUCUGAUUCAUUUUUAGUGCACUUUAUUUUGACUCUUUGCCAUUGAAUACGGACCAUUUCAGAAUUUCUUUAUACACACAUAAAGAUAAAUGGUCUGUUAUGAAUUAUUGACCAUGUGUGUGCAUGAGGAAGCGCAGUAUAUACAAGAGAAACAAAUUCAGUUAACUUUGUUUUCAAAAGAGACAAAUAAGCGGGCUAAUGAUAAGGGUAAUUCUGGUUUUUAUGCAUGAGUUGCAUUUAGUUUCUGUUCCAUCUAAUAUUGGUGGAUUGAUCUGGUGCACUGCCACGUGGCGAAUUCUGUGCAGGGAUUUCAGAAUCGCAGAAAACCAGUAAAGAUGAAGUGACUACUAUACAGCUGAAAGCAAUCAUAAAGUAGAGUUUGUUGGAACAUUUAGAUUAGUUCUUUCCACUGGUCACAUUUUGGAUUUAAUUGAUUCCUUUUAUGUUCCAAAUUUUUCUAAGAAUUUAUUUCUCUUCGAAACUUGUUGGAUUGGGAUAUAGUUUCAGUUUUAAUAAUAAAGUUUUUUCUUUAUCCUAUAAAUCUCAGAUAGUUGGCUCUGGUGUUUUGAAAUAAUCUAUAUAAAAUGUCUUUAGAUGAUUAUUAUAGUGAAUCCUCUUUACAUGCACGAAAUGUUGGAUCAAAACGUGGCAUUAAUAGUGAAAAGUCAUCCAUGUAUGGUAUAAGGUGUGGGACACAUCUCGAAACAGAAUCAAGGGUUAAUUAGAGAAGGCAUUUAGAUGAUUUGACUUUCUGACUUUGGAUAUGUGUGGACUGCAUAAGGAAAGCAGACCAAACUUCUUUAAAGGUGGCUAAAAGAUGUGAUGGAAUUAGAAUUGAUCAUACUGAUAUAUGCCGACCCUUCGUAUUUCAAUUACUGGCCAUAAAUAUUUUUAUCAUUUCUACAUGACUACUCUCUAUGGCUAUCUCUACUUGCUUAGAAAAAUCUGAGCAUUAGAUGCCUUUAGCAUAUAAGGCUGAAGUAUAGAGAUCAACUCGAGAAAAAGAUAAAAGUAGUUAAUCAGAUAGGGGUGGUGAUUUUUGGUAGACAAACACGAUAAGGCCAAAUUCCUGGCCUUUUGCUAAGUUUUGGAGAGUGCGGAAUUAUCACAGUACCAUGCCAGGAGCACCUGAUCAGAAUGGUGUUGCUGAAGACGAAAGCGGUACUUAAUUGAUAUACUUAGGAGUAUGAUCAGUAUUAAUGCUCUUCCAAUAUCCUUGUGGAGUGAGGCACUCAAAACUGCCCUAUAAUUCUUAAUCGGGUUCCUACAAGCUGUACUAAGUCUUUUUGAGCUUUGGACAGGUAGGAAACCCAGUUUAAGACAUUUUCAUACAUGGGGUUGUCAAGCUGAGGCCAAAUUGUAUGAUCCACAAAUAAAGAAACUGGAUCCUCGAACCAUAUCAGGAUAUUUUAUUGGUUAUUCAGAAAGGUCCAAAGGGUAUAAGUUUUACUGUCCAUCACUUCCUAUAAAGAUUGCAGAAACUAAAACAGCACGGUUUAUUGAGGAUGGUACAAUUAGUGGGAGCUCUGAACCUCGAUUCAUUGAAUUUGAGGAAAUUCAAGAGUAUUCGGAUUCUGUACAUGACAGACCCAUUAUUGUCCCUCACGAUUUGUUGGUUCCUAUUCCAGUAGAACAACAAGUUGUUUUGGAACCACAAAAUGAUUGUGAACCUAUCAUUGAUAAUUCACAUCAAGAUGAACAAGUGGAUAAUUCACAUCAAGAUGUACAAGUGAAUAAUCCACAUCAAGAUAAACAUGUGGAUAAUCAGAUAGAUUUAAGAAGAUCCUCAAGACAGAGAAGACCGGCUAUAUCCAGUGAUUAUAUUGUUUAUCUUUAUGAGAAUGGUCAGAGUUUAGAUGAUCCUCUUAGUUUUUCCGAAGCUAUAAAUAGUAAUAAUUCUACGGACUGGUACAAUGCCAUGAAGGAUGAGAUUGAAUCCAUGAACCACAAUAAGGUAUGGGAUCUUGUUGAGUUACCUAUUGGAGUUAAACCCGUAGGAUGCAAAUGGAUUUAUAAAAUUAAAUGGGACUCCAAAGGUAACAUAGAGAGAUACAAGGCCCAUCUUGUGGCAAAAGGGUUUACUCAGAAAUAAGGCAUUGACUAUAAAGAGACUUUCUCUCCAGUAUCUAGAAAGGAAUCUUUUCGUAUUAUUAUGGCUAUGGUUGCUCAUUUUGAUCUCGAGCUACACCAGAUGGAUGUCAAAACUGCUUUUUUAAAUGGGGAUCUCUAUGAAGAGGUGUAUAUGAAUCAACCUGAAGGAUUCUCGCAAAAGGGAAAGGAGCAUUUGGUAUGCAAAUUAAAGAAAUCAAUAUAUGGACUAAAACAGGCCUCCCGACAAUGGUAUUUAAAAUUUAAACAAACUAUUUUAACCUUUGGUUUUAAGGAAAAUAUUGUUGAUCAAUGUAUUUAUUUAAAAGUUAGUGGGAGUAAAAUAAUUUUCUUAGUCCUUUAUGUUGAUGAUAUUUUGCUUGCCAGUAAUGAUCUUGGGCUAUUGCAUAAUGAUCUUGGGCUAUUGCAUAACACUAAAGAAUUUCUUUUCCAAAAUUUUGAAAUGAAAGAUUUAGGUGAGGCCUCGUAUGUUCUUGGUAUUGAAAUCAAAAGAGAUAGACAUAAAGGUUUACUCGGUUUGUCUCAAAAGGCCUACAUAAAGAAAGUUUUGAAAAAUUUUGAAAUGCAUAAUUGUAAGCCCAGUGUUGCUCCUGUCCAGAAAGGGGAUAAGCUUAAUGCUUUUCAGUGUCCCAAGAACCAAUUAGAAAUUGAACAGAUGAAAAGUAUACCUUAUACCUCUGCAGUUGGUAGUCUUAUGUAUGCACAGACAUGCACACGUCCGGAUAUUGCUUUUGCCGUUGGAUUACUUGGCAGGUAUCAAAAUAAUCCAGGUAUGGAGCAUUGGAAGGCUGCUAAGAAGGUUAUGAGGUAUUUGAAAGAAACUUUAGAUCAUAUGCUGAUUUAUAGGAGAUCGGAUCAUUUGGAGCUGAUCGGUUACUCGGACUCCGAUUUUGCUGGAUGCCCAGAUACCAGAAAGUCUACGACUGGGUAUAUUUUUCCGCUUGCUGGUGGAGCGAUUUCAUGGAAGAGCAGCAAACAAAGUGUUACUACUCCUUUGACCAUGGCUGCAGAGUACAUUGCAUGUUACGAGACCACAUCACAGGCUAUUUGGCUUAGGAAUUUUAUCAUGGACUUAAGAAUUAUGGACUCAGUUGCUCGUCCAAUAAAGAUUUUCUGUGAUAGUUCAGCUGCGAUUUUCUUUGCCAAUAACAACAAGAUUACAGCAGGGUGUAAACACUUGGACACUAAAUAUCUUGUUGUGAGAGAAAAGAUAGAUGAAGGUUAUGUUACAAUUGAAUACAUCAGUACCAAGUGUAUGAUUGCAGACCCAAUGACCAAGGGGCUGGCACCUGGGUCAUAUACAGAUCAUGUUAGAAAUAUGGGUUUGAUUUGUUCUUUCGAUGUAUAAAAUUGUAACACUUAUUUUCUUUCAAUAAAGUUAAAGUUUAAUGCAGCUGUGUUGGAUCAUUUAGUAGACAUAAAUUUUCGUCUAUGAACGAAUGAACAUACAGUUUAAGUUCAUUCAUAAAGUUGUGCCAUAUAAAGUACUCGGCUAAGAGGUGAAGAUGGUACGGUAAUUAUGGAAGGAAAAUUUCGUUAUGAAGAGGUGGACCGCCAUAGUUCCUAUCAUUGUAGUCUUUUAGUUUGAGCUAAAGAGCAAGUGAGUUCUAAGGUAUUUGACCAUAAAGUUUCCUACAAUGCGCAAUAAAGUUUGGAAGAUAAAAAAUCCAUUAAUGGAAUAUGAUUAAUAUGAGCAAAGUGGGAGAUUGUUAGGAUUUUCAUAUAUUGUGGCCAAAUUAAUCAUAUUUAAAUUAGGAUUUACUAUAGAUAAAGGUCAAUUCUAAUAGAUAUAGAACUACUUGAUAUGGUAUAUUUUAUCCCUAUCCCAUCUAUUUUAAAUUUAAAUAGAAUCUUAAUCAGACUUUGAUGGGAAGUCGAUCUGAACUCUAUAUAAAGGGGUAUUGAUCCUGCCACAUUCUCAUACGCAUUCUGGUGAAGAAUUACCAUCGGUUCCACGCCAUACGGGAGAGUGCCUGAGAAAGGAGGAGAAACCAAAUCACCCAGAUUCGGCUCGUGACUUCCAGAUCAUAGCCGGACUUCUCGCUUCCGCAGAUUGAUUAAGAAUUUUUUCUCUAUGACGCUCUGUGAGUUAUUUUAUUUUAUUUGAUCCUGAAUUUUGGUAUGUAUUUAAUUUGAUUCUUGUUUUACAUACCUAUAAAGUUCCAUCAGAAAAUCGAAUAGCCAUUUUUUCUAAAAUUUAUAAAACUUUUCUCCAAAUUUUUUUUUACAGGCAAACCAAAUAUUUGAAAACUACUUUUCAUGAAAAAAAAGUUUUCGGAAUAGUUUUACAACGUAGCAAACAUAUCCUAAUUAGAUACUAACACUCAAGAAUAUUUUGAAAUAGGCCCUUUAAUUUAACUUAACUUCAUUGGCUUUUUUUUUGAGAGAACUAUGCUCCAUUGCUCUUGUUUCGAUUUUUCUUUAAAAAAAAUAAAUUUAACUAGAAAUAAGAAGUAAUUUGUCAAAUUUGAUAGCUCUAAUAGCUACUAACAGGCGAUUUGCUAAAGUGACGAAGCUGUUGAAAUAAUGAAAUAUAAUUCAAUUUAGUAAAAUUUUCCAAUACUUGACUAAAUUUAUACAACAAAAACAACAAAAUGAAAAUAAAAAAUAUUAAUUAAAAAGUAUAGAUUUUUUUUUUUCGCUAAAACUCUUGUAAACUGCAAUAUAAUGCACCUAUUUUCUAUCUAAAGGUUUGUUCAAUAUUGAGGGCGAACUAAUCGUCAUUAGGCAAAUAGAGUUGGGAUGAAAUCAUAAAGAGAGAUUCUUCUCCAUUUUUUCGUAUUCUUUCUAAGACUCUUUGUAAGCUACUGUAAAUACUUUUUUUUUUUUUUUGGUCUAAGAGCCCGUUUGGUAUUGAGGGCGAGCUAACGCUAUUAAACAAAUAGAAUCGAGAUAAAAGUAUAGAAAAAACAUGCUUUCUUUACUUUCUAGUGAGACUCUAGAAAAUAUAUUAUGAUCGACUCAUUACUACAAAAAUAAAUAUUAUGUUUUUUUUUUUUGUAAUAUGUAUUUUGCAUAUAACUUAAUAUUUUUGUAAUCCCAAAAACAUGUUUUAGUAAGAGUAAAACAGCUAUCUAAAUAGUCAAUAGUGGAAAGAAUCACUACACAUUUGUACCCUUCGCAAGAUAGUUCUACCUCAAACCCUAACCCUAGCACCUUCUAGAAAUUUUUUUUUCUUUGCUUUUUGAUCAACUAGCCAACAAAAAAACCCUCCGACAAAUAAAAAUUCCAAAAUAAAAAAAUCAAAAUAAUAAUAAUAAUAAUAAUAAUAAUAAUAAAAGAACAUACUUCACAUUAUCUCCCUUCACUCCUUUUAUCCUGUGGCCCUCCUCACUCCUCCAUAUUAACCCCUUCCCCCCACCCCGCUUGCUUAAAAAUACAAACUACUGCUACAUACAUACAUACAUACAUACAUACAUACAUUCUACCUCUAUCUAAUAUCCUCCAAAACGUGAAUAAACACAUUCCCUUAUCCUCUCCCUUCGCCCUCCUCCUCUCUCUCUCUCUCUCUCUCUCUCUCUCUCUCUCUACGAAGCCCCUCUCCCACGCCAUGGCCACCGCCCACGGCGACGACAAGGAGCUCCUCGACGCCCCCGACGACGCUCCCGUGGCGGCUGCGGUGGGGGGCGGCCGCGAAGCCGGGGCGGAGAGCUCGAAGGAGGCUGUGGCUUUGGACGAGAGCCCGAUCGAGGACGAAGGCUCCGAAGCUAGGGCUUCGGAGAAUCCUCUCGAGAAGGGAGACGAGAAGCCGAUUGAGGGAGAAGCCGAUGGCGUCGGCGCGGUUGACGCGGAGGAAGAUGGAGAUGGGGGAGAAGAAGGGGUUGAGAGCUCGAAGGCGGCCGCAGUAGCUGAAGCUGAGGCUGGAGCUGAAGCUGGUGGUGCUGUGGCGGCUCAAUCUGUAAGUGCUUCUGCUGCUGAAACCCUAGGAAUGGAUAGGUCUGCGGAGUUAGAUGGUAGUAUCAUCCCUAAUUCGAUGGAUUUAGAUGCUGAUUUUGGUUCUGGCGAAAAGCUUGGUGUUGAUGGUGCGGAGGAGGCAGAGAAAGUUGAGGGCUUGGAAGGGGGUUCUGAGGUUGUGGGUGGUGGAGAGGUGGAUAAGGGUUUUACGGGGAAGGUUGGUUCCGUUGAUUCUGAUGAGGGUUUUGAUGACGGUUCUACUCAGAACCGGGAAAUUGAGCGCGUGAUAGUACAAAAUGAAUCGAACCGAGCUCCUGAUGAAGCUAAAGCCGAUGAGGUUGAGGAUGACGAGGUGAUGCAAUCGGUGGUCGAAGAAGCUGAAGAUAGUGGGAGCGAGGAGGUGAAGGCAAUGGAUGUUGGUAAUGAAUUUGAUGCAAAAACGAAUCUUGAACCUGUAAGUGAUGCUGCUGCUGAAGCUGAAGCUGUAGCUGAAGCGGUAGAUAAGUUUUCGGGAUUGGAUGGUCGUGCUGGUGAGACUGAGAAAAAUGAGGGUUUGGAUGGUGGGUCUGUUUUGAUGGGUUCGAAUUCUGAUGCUGAUUACGCUGACAAGGUUGGCAAUGGGAAUGGUGAUGAGGUGACUGCUAAUGUUGGGGAGGCUGAGAAAGCUGGUAGUUCGGAAAUAGCUGAGGGUUCUUCAGAUAAGGUUGAUUCUGUGAAAAUUGAUGCAGAGGAAAAUAGUAGUAUUACAAAGAGUCCGGAAACUGAGGGUGAGAAAGCUACGAAUGAAUCGGACCAAGUUGCUGAAGAAGCAGAAGCUGUUGAGCCCAAACAUGAUGCAGGCGAGAAGUCUAGGGAGGAGGAGAUGAAAAGUGACUUUGUGGACAAUUCAACUGCAAAGAAAGGUGGAGAUGACAGUGAAGAACCCUCUGAAAACCUAACAGCCACUAUCUAUACUGAAAAAGAAGGGAAAGCUGGUGAUCAUGGCCCUUUUGACCCUGCUGAUGAUGAAGAAAAUGGUGAUAAUGAGACGGGUGGAGAGGAGGACGAAGUUUUUGACUCUGAGAGGCUGCCUAGAGUCGCAAUCUUGGAGAGCUCCGAAACUGCUAAAGAGAUCAUGAAAGAAUUUGAAGGAGGCUCUUCACGCGAUAUAGAUGGGCAAAUUGUAAUUGAUUCGGAUGAAGAGGUGGAUGAAGAAGAUGAUGAUGAAGAGGGUGAUGAGAAAGAAGUGUUUGACUCUGCUGCAUUGGCUGCUCUGCUGAAAGCUGCGACUGGCUCAUCCCCUGAUGGAAGUUUCACUUUAACUACUCAAGAUGGUGCCCGAGUUUUCUCUGUUAAUCGUCCCGCUGGGUUGGGUUCGUCAGUCCCGUCACUAAGGCCCGCCCCAGCGCGCCCGGCCCGACAAGACCUUUCCAUUCCUUCUGAACUGGCACUGGCGGCCGACCCUCUUAGUGAAUUAAAUGAUGAGGAGAAGAAACUACAUGAGAAGGUUGAGCUGAUAAGAGUUAAGUUCCUUCGCCUCGUGUACCGGUUGGGGCAUUCUCCUGACGACACAGUUGCUGCACAAGUGCUUUAUAGAUUGAGCCUAGCAGAAGGGAUCCGACGGGGAAGACAAAUGCACCAUGCUUUUAGCCUUGAGAAUGCUAAAAAGAAGGCCUUGCAGCUUGAAGCAGAGAGAAAGGAGGAUCUUAACUUUGCCUGCAACAUUUUAGUACUGGGUAAGACAGGAGUUGGGAAGAGCGCUACCAUAAAUUCCAUUUUCGGUGAAGAGAAAUCCCUAACUAAUGCUUUUGAACCAGCAACUGCUUCUGUGAGAGAAAUAACUGGUAGUGUAGAUGGUGUUAAUAUUCGUGUUAUCGACACUCCGGGCCUUCGAACUUCCUUGAUAGACCAAGCAUCUAAUAGGAGAAUCCUUUCAUCUAUCAAGAAAUAUACCAAGAAAUGUCCACCCGAUAUCGUAUUGUACGUCGACCGAAUGGAUACCCAAACACGCGAUCUUAAUGAUUUGCCUCUAUUAAGAACCAUUACAAGCACAUUGGGUUCGUCCAUUUGGUUCAAUGCAAUUGUCGCUCUCACUCACGCAGCUUCUGCUCCCCCCGAUGGUCCCAAUGGUUCUCCUUUAAGUUAUGAAGUAUUCGUUGCGCAGAGGUCCCACGUCGUUCAGCAGUCGGUUAGGCAGGCGGCCGGCGACAUGCGUUUGAUGAAUCCGGUGGCUCUCGUCGAGAACCACCCUUCCUGUAGGAGGAAUAGAGAGGGCCAACGGGUUCUCCCCAAUGGCCUAAGCUGGAGACAGCAAUUGCUUCUCUUAUGCUACUCCUCGAAAAUAUUAUCAGAAGCCAAUUCCCUUUUGAAGCUUCAAGAUCCUUCUCCUGGGAAGUUAUUUGGGUUCCGUUUCCGUUCUCCUCCUCUUCCCUUCUUGCUGUCCUCCCUCUUGCAGUCUAGGGCACACCCAAAGCUCUCCUCCGACCAGGGGGGAGAUAAUGGAGAUUCCGAUAUCGAUUUGGAUGACUUUUCUGAUGCUGAACAAGAAGAGGAAGAAGAUGAAUAUGAUCAGCUUCCGCCAUUUAAGCCUUUAAAGAAAAGCCAGAUUGCGAAACUCACCAAGGAGCAAAGGAGGGCCUAUUUCGAUGAGUACGAGUACCGGGUCAAGCUUCUUCAAAAGAAGCAAUGGAAAGAGGAGCUUAGAAGGUUAAAAGAGAUGAAGAAGAGAGGCAAAACUACACAAGAUGAUUUUGGCUAUGGUGAUUACCCCGAAGAUUAUGAUCAGGAUAAUGCCCCAGCUGCUGUACCCGUUCCUUUACCCGACAUGGUACUGCCUCCUUCAUUUGACUGUGAUAGUCCCACCUACCGAUACCGUUUUCUUGAGCCGACCUCACAGCUUCUGGCUCGACCUGUUUUAGAUACUCAUGGGUGGGAUCAUGAUUGUGGGUACGAUGGGGUGAGCCUAGAAGAAACCCUAGCAUUAGCCAGCCAGUUCCCUGCUGCUGUAUCGGUUCAAGUGACCAAGGACAAGAAGGAAUUUAGCAUCCACUUGGAAUCUUCAGUUUCAGCCAAGCACGGCGAAAACGGCUCCUCGCUAGCUGGUUUUGAUAUACAAACUGUUGGGAAGCAAAUUGCUUACAUUCUCCGUGGUGAGAGCAAAUUCAAGAAUUUGAAGAGGAACAAAACUACAGGGGGUGUUUCUGUAACUUUCUUGGGCGACAUUGUGGCGACUGGAUUGAAGGUUGAGGACCAGCUGUCAAUUGGGAAGAGGCUGACACUUGUUGCAAGCACAGGAGGGGUGCGUGCGCAAGGCGAUACGGCGUACGGGGCCAACUUGGAGGCACGGCUUAAAGACAAGGAUUAUCCGAUUGGCCAAGCCCUUUCAACCUUGGGAUUAUCCCUAAUGAAGUGGCGCGGUGACUUGGCCGUGGGGGCAAACUUGCAGUCUCAGUUUGCAAUUGGGAGGGGCUCGAAGAUGGCUGUUCGUCUUGGUCUUAAUAACAAGCUGAGUGGGCAAAUCACUGUUAAGACAAGUACCUCAGAGCAGCUUCAGAUUGCACUGUUGGGGAUCCUUCCAAUUGCUAUGUCGAUAUUUAAGAGCGUGCGGCCUGGUGAGUCUUUUGCAUAUUAGUUGGGUCUAAAGGUUAAAUUAUUGGUUAUCAAUAAGUUUCCUAGUAUUCCGGUGGAGUGAAUAGUAUCUGUUUCGUUUUCUUUGAACUUUUGCAAUCGCUGCAGUUAGUUUUGUCAUAAUUUUACCAUGAAGAGAGCUGUGGAAUUGAGUUAGAACUGUGCGGGCGUUAGUAAUGUUAGAUUUGGUUCGUAUGCUAUGAAGUUGCUAUGUUGUUUCCUUCCAUCUAAAAUAAAAGCCUUUCAUUUUCAUAUGAAUUUUGGUUGCUGAAUGCGGUAGUUACCAACUGAGUGUUAAAUUGGUCUGUUAGAAGUGUUAUUUUGGAGUUCAAUUAAUUCUUUUGAGAUAAUAGUCAUCUCAUUGUUGCCGUUUGAUUUUUAUUCUUUCUGAGAAACAAUUUUAUCAUCGGAGUAGGAACAAAAUGAUCUGUGAGCUGCGAGGAUGAAGCAAGUCUAUUUGAGAUGUAAGACUACUACAGCUUUAAUAUAAUCUAAAAGAAGAAUAGUGUAUCACAAGUUAUAUUCUUAGUCUUUGAUUUACGUUAUAGAGCUUCUGUGAUAUAUUAACAUAUUAAGGGCCUGUUUGGCCUAUAGCAGUAGAGACUAGUGCUGUUGAAAAAGUACUGUAGGAAAUAGUGUGGUGUUGUUAAAAAAAAAAGGUAUAGAGCGUUUGAUUGUUUUUGUUAAUAGUACUGUCUAUUAUAAAAAGAUGUUUGGUAAAAACUUUGUUAAAUAAUUACAAACCGGUAUAAAGUAUAUUAAAAAGUAUAAAUUUAAUUCAGUAGUUUCAUUUAUUAUUUCUUAAUAACAAUUUGAAAUUAAAAUUAAAAUUUGAAUUUAAAAUUAAAAGUUAAUUUUAAAUCGAAAUUGAAUUUAAAAUUUGAAUUUGAAUAAACAUUUUGUAUUUACAUUUCAAAAUCAAAAAUAAACUCGAAAGUUAAAUUUGAAUUUCAAAAGUAAGUACAAAAUUUAAAUUUGAAUUCCAAAAUUGAAUUUAAAUUUGAAAUAGGAACCCAUAAAAUUCAGAGUUAAAAUUUGAAUUAAAAUGUAACUGUGAAUUUUAAAUUUUAAUUCAAAAUAUAAGUUAACUUUAAAGUUUAAAUUUAAAAAGAAAUUUGAAUUUAUAAAUUUCAAAUCAAACAAAAUUAACUUCCAAAAAAUAAAUUGGGGUCCAAAAUUAAAAAACUUACAAACAUUACAUUGAGGACCAACAUUACAAUAAACCCAAAGUUUCUACCUGAAGUUUUUUUUAUUUUGGUCCCAAAAAUUUAUUUUGAUCCCCAAAAUUAACGUCAAAAAAAAAAAGAAGAGAGAGAGAGACAACAAAGUUUCUACCAUAGAAGCUCCAUCAAUGGAGCUUCAACGGUUGAAGGGGUGGAGGGUGCAGAACACAAAAAAAUUGUGUUCCGUCCCCUCUGCAAACGCCUUAUUUUUGGGUAAAGCCUCUUUUGGCCGGGCCAAAAUUUGAUUAGGUUUAGUUUAGGUUUGAUGCCAACACUGCCUAACCCAACCCAAAUUUGGUCCCUUCUGGUAUUUCCUAAUCUUAAGCCAAUCCAUUGAGCAGGUUGCUCUCGUAGGUUCCAAUUGCAUGAUCCAAGUUGUGGCCCAACAGCUGUAACAUCAGUAUAAAGCAAAGAUUACCGAGGAGUUUGCCUUUAUCUAAUGAAAGGUGAUAAGUGGCCAUGACUAGCAUGAGUUUCAUUAACGAACUAUGCCCCCAUUUUGAAUAUUUACAAGUAAAAAUAGUCAGAAGGAAUCAAACUAAAUGGAAUUUGAUGUGAAGGAGGGUUCAUGAAGGCAGUAAAUAGGCUGUAUUGAGAACAGACCACAAAAAGAGAGAUAACAUAGUUUCAAAUUAAAGGUACUGAAUUCAUGAAGGAGAAGGGAAAGGAAAGGACACCUAAGCAAUUGCAGGAAAUAACUUCGAAACAUCAAAGAAGAAUCCUGAAGGCUUCGUUUGGUUCGGGGUUAAGUAAAAACUAGUUACUCCAGGAACAGGGUUAAGUUCAGGGUUAAGGUGGGGUUAGAAUAAUUUUGUGUUUGGUUGAGAAUUGGGUUUAGUCCAGGAAUAAACAAAAUAGUGUUUGGUUGGAGUAGGUGGAAUAAGAAGGAUAGUGGGUUGGUAUAGAGAUAAAAAGACCAAAAUACCCCUCACAUGAAUCUAUGUAAAUAAAAACUUUUAUUUUUUGCAUUUAAAUUUAGAUGAUUGCAAUUUUUUUCGGGGAGUCAAAUUAAAUUAAUUUGAGCGUAAUUUGUUACCAAAAAAUAUUUUUCACUACUCUUUUGUUACCAAAAAAUACCCUAAUCCGAGACUACAAGAGAAAACCCCCAAAUUGUAGGUGAAGGCUGGCACAGAUCUACCUAGAUCUACCCGAUCCGGUUGUGUGGGUUGACCCGAAGCGAGGAGGAGAAAGUACGAAGCGCUUGGGCCGUCGGUGAAGGCUUUACGAGCAACGGCGACGAGAUGGGGGAUGAGAAUUUCGGGGGAGCUGAAGCCUUUACAACUGGAGGUGAAGGCCUUGCGACCGACGGCGACGAGGUGAAGCCCUUACGACUAGCUUUGGCCGGAGGGAAGCCCGUCCAACCAACGGCGACAAGGAGGGGGGGUUGAGGGCUUCGGGGGAAGAAGAUGAACAAGAGGUGAGGGGGCGAACAGUAGUACGAAGGGUAUUUUGGGGCGGGGUUAGGCUAUUCCGGGGGUGGGGUUAACAAACCCCAACCCUUAUCAGGUUAUCCACGCGGGGGUGUGGGGUGAGGGGGUGGGGUUAACAAACCCCACCCCUUGUUGGGUUAUCCACGGGGGGGGGGCGGCGCGGGGAGUACCAGGGGGUGGGUUACAAACCCCAUCCCUUAUGCGGUUAAACCUGAUAAGGGGUGGCGGGCGAGGGGGUGGGUUAACAAACCCACCCCUUUAUCGGUUUUGUGGGGGGGGGGGGGCGCCAGGGGGUGGGGUUUGUUAACCCCACCCCUCUAAUUUUGUGUUUGGGACUAACUUCGGGGUUAAGGGGUUAUCCCCCCCCUUAACCCCGAACCAAACAAGGUGUAACUGAUCUCCUUUGGUCCUUUUUUUGUUCGUAGGAUAUAGAGAGAAAAGACUCGGGAGGAUUUAAAGGACGAAUAGUAAAUGUGAUAGGAAAGAAGAAAGGAGAAAAAUGAGUUAGGAGGAUUGGUAGGGCAUUUGGAAGUAUGUUUUAAUGGCUUUUGUGAACUCCCUCUUUUCUGUGGGGCAAGUUGCUUGAUCAGAGUAAUUUGUUGCAGGCAUACAUAAAUUAAUCCUCUUAUAUCCUAUAAUGAUCCAAAACAAUCUAAUCUUUGUCUUUUAUUUUUACAGCGGAUCCCAAUUAGAAAACCCGGAAAUCUGAAUUUAUGCAUCCAAUUCUUUGUGCUCAUUGAAUCAUCAUGCACGACUUCAGAUAUUUAACUAGGUGGAUAAACUUGCACUAUAAAUUGAACAAAGUUCAGAAGAAGACUGAAAAACUGUAUCGUAAACUUCAUCAGACGAUUAUUUGGUCUUAGGAAUUUUACUCUGUUGGCUAGUUCUAGAUAGAAACGUGGAAUGUUGAUCAUUCCAGUAUUUGAUCAUGUUAUCUCUUAUAAAUUCUCGUGCGUAGGAUCAAUUUCAUUUAACUAGAAUUUCGCCUUAUUGUUUUUCCUGAUUUUCUGUGGAUUUUGCGCAAGUUAAUCUCUACAGGAAGUGUCUGAAUUUAGAGAGUUUGUCAUCUCUACUAUUUAGUUUAAAAGUGUUUAAUUGCUCUGUUACAUUGAAUCUGGAAAAUUGUCAGAUUGGCUCACAUUUCUUCUACUAUAGGUGGAUGGCGUUGUUAAUCCAUGUAGACAACAAACAAAUAUUCUCAUAUCCAGUAUCUGUUUCUUCAUCUGUUAGAAGUUGGAUGGUUCUCUUGUUUCACAUCACACAUAUUUGUUUAGACGUAAGAUAUGCCCUUUUCCUUUAGGGGCAUGGUAUUUAAGUUCAGAGAAAGCACUAAUUGCUGUUUUGUUGAAUAUCUCACAACAGCUUCCUGGCGUGAUAAGCAAAAGCUUUGAAGUGGAGCUUUUGUUUUUGGCGCUCAGAUGCUCGCUUCAGCUUCUUGCAAGAAUGCCCUAGGGCUUUUUACUCACCGAGCGACUGUUCACCCCUUCUUAGAUUAGAAAAGUCCUUCAACAACCCUGCCCAAAUUGGCACUUUCUGGGGUUUCCCUUAUUGUCUGCGUAGUCUACUUCUUGUCCGUAGAGUCUACUGUAGGGCAUUUCGCGAGGUUAAAAUUUCUUCUAUAUCCUACAUGUAGUGCUUUUGCCUGUCUCAACUCAGGUGGUUGUGCGCCUCGACUCAGGUAGUUGUGCGCGUGAGAUGUGCUUUGACUUUAGGGUAAACUUCAAUUUACCUCAUUGUGGUUUAGUGCAUUAUCACUUUGUCAUCCCGUUCAAAAAGUUACAUAUAACUAUCGGGUGGUUUAAUGUGUUUUACUUUGUUACUAUGUGGUUUAAAAAAGUUACACUUAAUUAUGAAAUAUUUUUUCUUCAAAUUUUCACUAUAAGAAAAUAUGGUUAAAUAGGAGGAUAUCACCCUGUGGUCUUUAAAAAACUUCGCUUUGCUAUUCUAAUUGACGUUAUGGUUUUUUGGUGAAAUAGAGAAAAAAAAUCACCCAAUAAUUAAGUGUAUUUUUUUUUUUUUUGGAGUAUAGGUAACAAAGUAAAAAACAUGUUAAACCAUAGAUAGACAAAUUGAAGUGUAACCUUGUUUUCGUUGUGACAAGUGCAUAUGUUCUUAUUUCAUAUAAAUGCUACUUUCUCAGGCCAUUUGUUACAGCACAGUUAGAACUGCAAAUAGUUAUAUAUUUAACAGUUACAUUUAUGUUUGUUUUGCUAGUAUGCAGUUGAGAAUACCCUAAUUGUAAAUUUUUUAUUUGAUUGUUCAUAAUUGGAAGAUGCAGAUUUUGAUACUUCGCAUCCAUUAGUUGCCUUCAACAGUAGAACUGAUGGGCAGCAGGCCUACACAGUAUAAAAACU
This 66656-nucleotide long non-coding RNA is filed under the name Ananas comosus (pineapple). RNAcentral's name for it is "long non-coding RNA (ACOM_LNC032688)". Lineage: Eukaryota; Viridiplantae; Streptophyta; Magnoliopsida; Poales; Bromeliaceae. The record is from RNAcentral.